UUGAAGGGUAGAGCAACAACAAAAAUUUCUUAAUUAGUCACUUAUUUUAAUUGAUUCUCAUGACAAUUCUCCCGUUUUCAAUACAUGAUAUUGUAUUGAAUAUGGAAUUCUAUAACAUUUUUAGAGUUUGAAUGUUUCGACAGACCCCACAUAGAUGAUAGAGUUAUGCAGACUUCUAGUAGAAUUGCACUUGUACAUUUAGAUGGAAGUUUGAUCGAGUCAUGUAAAAUAGACGGGCGUAUAAAAUAGAGGGAGUUAAACAAAAAUUCAAAUAUCAGUGCCGCAAGCUAAGCUCACUUGAUAAACUAAAAUUUUUUUCCAUGUAAGAAGACUUAAAAUAUAAAGCGCGAAUUGACAAAAAGGAAGUUCUGGCUUUAUGUAUAGAGAAGAUAAGUAAACACAUUCAGGUGGCAUUAAGUAUCACAAUACAAAUACAGACAGUCCAAUGGCCCUGCAACUGGAAGAAGAGGAAAACUUCCGCUGUGCCACGCAGCUGGUGUUUUCUUCUGUGCUGUCCAUGUCUAUGCAAUCAGCAAUCGAGCUAGGCGUUUUUGACAUCAUAGCGAAAGCCGGUCCUGGUGCCAAUCUCUUCAUCAGAGAUUGCAGCCCAUAUCGGCAGCGGCACCUCUUAAAUUUCAGGUAGACGGGCCAUGAGCCCACUCCAACAACACCGAUACUGUCACCACUUGGCUACCUGCUCAAUCCGUCAGGUGUGAGGUUUUAAUACAAAAGGCCUCGGUGAUAGAGUGGGGUAAUUCUAUAUAAAUGGCUUGUUCUCAAGCCUUUUGGCCGAUGUGGGACAAAGAAAUUCUAACAGCACCAGGAAUUCUGAGGCACCGAUGAUGUUGGAUCGUAUUCUAAGGCUCCUAGCCAGUCACUCUACUCUCAGCUGCUCUGUCGUUGCUAAUGAAGAAGAUGGGUCUGAUUCUCAGAGGCUCUACAGCCUUGGUCCUGUGUCCAACUACUUUGUGACUAAUGAAGAUGGUGUUUCUUUAGGUCCCAUGAUGGCAUUGAUGCAAGACAAGGUCGUCCUAGACUCCUGGUCUGUUUAGUACUACUCUCUUGCCCCUACUAAUUAACCAUUGUCUUAACCCUUUUCUCUUUUUAUUCAUCUAUAUUUUGUUUUAGUAGAAUUAUUAGAGAUAAUUAGAGCAAUAGUUUUGAAUUUUAGUUCAAUUGGAACUUUGGUCUUUCAAUUAAAUAUCCCUAAAUAUUGGUCUCUAAACUUGUUACAAUGGAAAACAAUAAUUUUUUUGAAUAACUCCAUUCGAACUUCUUCCCUUUUUGGCCCCUUUAAACCUUUUAUUCUAAAAGAAAAUCACCAAGAAUGUUAUUCAAAAGGAAUUUUGCUUCACAUUAUGACAAGUUCAGAAAGCAAUACUCAAAAAAUUUUAGUUCAGGAACCAAAACUCAAAUUGUGCCAAAAUUGCUCCAAUUUUUUCAAAUUAUUAUGAAAAGGAAACCAAUAUAACUUCAAAUAACUUAUCUAUUAUGCACAACUCACUAUAAACUCAUUUGGCAACUUUUCAUUAGUUUCAUUUUGGAAUCACUUACAAGUUAUUAAUUCACAACAAAUUAGAAAUUGCCACAUCAAUCAUUGUAGAAAAGAAAUUGGUCUCUCUAGCUUUUAUUUUCUAAUUAGCCUAAUUAAUAGUAAUUAUCUUGUUUUUAAUAAAAAAAAAUAGUAAUUUAUCUUUUUAACUCUAACUUGGGUCAACCUAUUAGUCGACUCAUGAAGAAAGACGCUCCAUUCAUAUGGGAUGUUGCCUGCCGCAAUGCCUUUAAAAGCAUAAAAAGAUACUUGGCAAGCCCACCUGUCUUAAGAGCUCUCGUGCCUGGAAAGUUGCUCAUCCUAUACACUGCCGCACAAGAAGGUUCCAUUGGAGCACUCUUGGCACAAGAAAAUGAAGGCCAAAAGGAAAGAGCACUCUACUACCUAAGUAGAACUCUCACUGGUGCUGAGCUUAACUACUCACCAAUCGAGAAGAUGUGCCUUGCCCUAGUUUUCACCGCCCAAAAGCUAAGACACUACAUGCAUGCUUACACCAUCCAUUUGGUUGCUAAAGUUGACCCAGUCAAGUAUGUUAUGUCCAAACCCAUCCUGAUGACAACUAGGGUUAAGAGCGGCGUGUUGGCCAUAUAAUCAAUACAAUCCCAUAUGAUAGGGAUGGUUGCAUUCGAUCUAUUGUCUCUCGUCGAAAGGCGUAGAGAGGGGACAAUUCGACUAAUAGCGUUCUUAACUGAAGGCAGAUUCCUUCUAAGUUUCGAACAUCCAAUAUUGUUUAAAAAGAUAACCAGAAACUCAAUUGAAUCUAACUGUCCUUAUCUCUUGAGUAAUUCGAUUUAAAACAUAUACGCAUAAUUCGUGACUACAAUAACUUAGGGCUAACUUCAGUAACAAUAAAAAGCUGGACGCGAGGACCAAUUUUCAGUGUUACUCAUCAGUGAUCUCAUAUUGACUGUGGAAUCCGGUACGAAAUUAAGUGGCCAAUUUCUUAAAUAUUGUUGUGGAAUUAAUAGCUUGUAAGUGAUUCCAAAAUGAACACUUAAUGAAAAGUGCCCAAAUGAGUUUAUAGUGGGUGAGUUGUGCAUUAGAUAAGUUAUUUGAAGUCUUAUAUUUGGUUUCUUUUCACGAAUAAUAAUUUUUGUAAAAGAAUUUUGGCAGUAGCCCAUCUCUCAGAGACACACUAUUGAGUUUGGUUCACCUGUAACCUAAACAUCUUUUAUGCAUAGUACUCUGGCAUUUCUGAAAUUGCUCAAACAAAUGCUAGACGUGAUAGCAAAUUCCUUUGAAUAAUAUUCUUUGCGUUGGGAUUUUCUUUUAGAAUAAAAGUUUAAGGGGAAGGCCAAAAAGGGAAGAAGUAGUCACGAAACUGGCAAGGCAUAUAUUCAAAAAAAUUAUCUUGGUUUCAUUCUGCGAAUCGCUAAAACAAGUGGUAGGUUAAGAGACCAAAUUAUCAAUAUUGAGGGAAAUCACAACAGAGAUAUUUAAUUUGAAAAAUGCCAAAGUUGCAAUCCAAGGUUGACACAUAAAAAUUUAUUUCAAACUUCACUUAUAGCUGGAAAUAGUCUAAUGUAUUCUACUAGUGGAAGGAAAUAAUUGGCUACUAUCAUAACUCAACAUAUAGAUGAAUAAAAACAGAGAAAAAUACUGGGGUAGUGAAGUUCGGCCAAAAUGGGUUAAUGAGUAGGGGCAAUAGAGGAUCCCAAGCUUCAGUACUAAAAUUCACAGCUAGAAUCGACGUGACUAGGUCGAUUGGUAACGAGUUAAACGUAGUCCUAUCUCUGGUCUUGAUCAAUGCCAUCAUGGACCUAAAAGGGUAACUUUCACCCAGCAUCUCUUCGACUUACGUCACAAAGAUGGUGUGACAUCAGUCAAUGGCUUGAGGAGUCCUCUGAACGAAUCACGGAGACCCAUCGUAUCAUAUACACGUGUUAGACCAGAACGAGGCCAGUGCACGUUCAGUGAGGGAGUUCCCGCGUUUAGGAGGUGUAGCCUCGCAAGACAUAGAUGGAGCGCUGGUGGAUAGAAACGUGACGACUUCCAAAUGCUUAUCCUACCGGGUAGCUUCUUAUUGGGAGAUGGCUUUGGUUUCUGUGGUCCUAGAAUUUCUCUUUGUCCCACCCCUUCGGGGAACCGGAAGAGCUUGAGUGAUCUCAACAACAGUCUGGCCUGAAACACAAUUGUUUACUCAUUAUAAAUAUGGAACCCACACUCUAAUACUACGACCCAUGGGCGUGUCGUUAUUUUAUAUUCACACUCACAACCUGAAUACAACGUUACGUCUGAGCAGGUAGCCACGUCCCGUCCCGGUCCGGAUGCUCGUCCCGGGUGAAUCCCAGCUGAUCCCCGGGUGGUGUUGGUGGGUGGGCUUCAUGGCCCGUCUACCUGAAUUUAAGAGGCUUGGGCCCUACAAAGAGCACCCUAAGGAAUGUGGGAGGGACAACCUUCGACUAUAGGGCUUCCUCGGGCAAAUCUUUUUUGUGGGCUGUAGACAAGAUUGGACACACAAGGACCGUGUCUUUCUGCAAUUAAUGAUGUAGUAAAAAAAAAACAACCCACGUCCUCAUGUCUCGAAAUUACGAUCCUGGAUUGCAUACGGCAAGUGCACGACACGUCACAGUCAUUCACUGAUUAAACAAACACGGGAGCACACUGACAUCGGCUGCUACAGUGAUGAGUAUUUGAGCCUCUUCUCUUACCAGUUGAUCCCUUAGGGCAAGGAAGGAAGGCCAACAAGCCAGGGGAGAAGGGCACAAGGGUUCACAUGUGGACUGUUCUCUUGUAAUAAUUGGGUGCUACAAUUUGUGAGGAUACCUCUAAUGUGGCCACUGCCAAAAUUUGAUAUUCACUUAAUCUUCCUCUCAUCAUUAUAACAUAAAGAAAUGCCGAGACUUGUACUACCUUUUUGUCAUGAUCCAGAGCACUUGGAAAUUAUGUUAUUAAGUUUCUUCUUACAUGGCAAAAAUUCUAGGAAUUAUAUCGCACCAAGAUGAAGUUUUUAGGUUGCGGGCGUGGGCAAGACUGACUAUCCUGCCAUUAUGUUACCAUUCUUUGAUUACUUUACAUACUCACCCAUUCAACCAUAGCCUGAGUUCUCAUAAAUCUGACACCGCCCUUUAUCGGUUUAUACCAUGACUACUCGGGAAUCAUAUGAGCGAUCGGUCUCCGCAUCUAAGAGGUAGCUAAUAAGGUCGCACAAUAAAUCAUAACUAGUAAGUCUGCCUAUGGCUCACUGCAUAGCAGUAUGUGGGGUCCUUGACUAUUCGACACAUUAAUCCCAAUUACACUAUCUAAAAAUGUUUGACACUUUUCAAUAUGAUGGACAUUGCGUUUCGAAUAGCUCUCAUACAAUAUCACGGUAACCCCUAAGAAGUCUCAGAUAUUGAAGAAAACAGGUUGGUGACGAACAUAUCAGUGGCUAGAGAAGUCAAUAUUACAAUAACUCAGUGCCGACUUAAUUAAGAAAUUUUUGUUGUUGCUCUACUCCUUCAUGAAGUGGCUUUACCAUUGCGGAGGUGAAGUACGGAGCAGCACUUCAGAGGCAUUGUGGCCUAGUUGCGCGAUCACUGACAUGGAAAACAAUCUUAAUACCUGCGACUUGUUCUACUCUUCAACCCUCAUGGGCAUCGCUCUAUGUGAUCAAAUAUAGCUCAAGGUCAAAUUCACAGUCAGCAUGCCUACUUCUACGUUUUCAUCAAGAUACAUAUGCAAAGCAUACUGUUGGUGAACCAACUAUGGUAUUUCUCCUAGAUGUCCAAAAAGCAUUGCCUAUCUAAUUCACAAAGUCUGGUUAACAUGGUGUCGAACCACACCUUAUUCUGGAUUUUUAUUUAUAAUGACAUCAAAUAUAAGAAUAGAAUCUUUUUACAUUUGAUAGAUACAACCUUAACUUUUUUUUUGUUUGUACAACGAUAGUAUGUUGUACGAACUAAAGGCGCGCGGAGAUAUAUCAAAGUAUAGGAGCCUACAUGCAUAAAAAUAAAGGCAACGGCUCAGUGGAUAUGGUAUUGAAUUCGACGUGCAAUCCACACGCAUCUCGGAAAACCUAGACCUUUCACUUAUUAAGUACGAAAAAGGAAAUACUAUAGACCGUAGUAAUGAAUGACUAUAAACAACCUUAACCAUUUACAACUUCACUUCAUAAAUUUACAAAAAUAUAUAUCUCCAUUAAACUUCCACUUUAAAUUUAACAAAAAAAAACUGCUUUUGAUUUUCUCUUUCAUCGGUGCAACCAGAAGUAGGACUCCAAACUGUACAAAGCUUUCCUUCUUCUCCAUUUUUGAUUUAUUUCAUAUAUAUAGUCAAUACCCAAAAUUCAAAAAUCCCACAAUUCAGUACAACUUAAAUAAGAUUUGUAAAAACUCCUAUCUUGUUUUGUAUAUAAACUCUUUAUGUUUGUUGUAUUCUUCUCUCUUACCACUGAGUAAGAAAGGAAUGUAAGUUUGGUAUGUUUUGUGUCUAGUGUUAAGAGGAUUUCUCCUGGUUGAUUCUCCCUAAUAUAGAAUAAAGAGUGGUAUAUUACUAAAAAUAGACAAGAGUUUGGAGAUAUUGCCAAAUGGACUAUAGUAAAAUAAUAUCUGAUAAACUAUAAAAGGUCUUGAUUAUGGUAAAUUUUGCAGUAUGUAAACUAUUUACCAUAGGAAAACUCAGACAACAAGUUUUUUUGGGAAAGGGAAAGUUAUUUUGUGUUCCAAAGGCACAAGCCAGCAAACCUCAAAGUGAAUAUAUUGACGAAUAAGAAUCACUAAUAUAUAUGUGACAUAUCGUACGUUCACGCAAGUAAACUUCAUGGUUCCUUUCUCUAAGGAAUACAUUCAAACUUCGCAUAUAUAGACUUCAAGCGUGAUCUGCCUACAAAGCAUCAUUUACACUAUAUUUUUGUGAAGAGAUUCUAAAAAGCACUUUUCAUUAAAGUGUCUUUCAAUUCAUUUUAGAGGCCUUUCAAAACAACAAUAUAUUCGAUUUUAUAUCUUAUCAGUGAGGAUAUCUUAUAAUUAAAUCAAUCGUUUUAUGAAAGUCUACAAUCAUUUAAACACCUUUCAACUAUAGUUUGACUCCCGUCCAGUUUUUUUUAUUAGGUAUUUAUUCAUUUGUGAAUAAAUGCCUCUCUGGCUAUCCCAGAAGAUAGAUCAUGUGCUUCACGGCAGGUUUAAAAAUAGGAGUAAAUUCCACAAAAAGAGUACAUUUAUAUAAUUAGAGACUUCUUUGUGGACCAAGGUUGCGUAACUUUUGCUGGUAUCUGACGAGGAGAUGGAUUGUAGCGCUACUAGAAUCUUCUCCACACUAGGUCCCCACACUUUGCAUAUGUUCAUACAGAAUCGGUCAUAUUGCUGUAAUGCCUUAGUUAGAAUGCUUUUUAUCGCGCAAUCGUAACUCCUUCAUAACACUCUCCACCAGUCAUAUGAGACUGGGGUUUACUCGCUAAUGAAGUGUGUAAUCCUCUAGAUAAUAAGUGCUUUUUGAUCUUAGCUGAGAUGGAUUGGACUUUCAGGAUGUCUAGAUAUGCAGAGUACUCUAAGUCUAGACACAUACAGCACACACAAAACAUUACUGCUAUAUCGAUUUUGUUUCGGUCUCAGGUCGCUUCAAGAUAAUACUGAAAUUGGCAUUAAUAUAGUUUACUAAUAGUUGGCAUGAGUGAAUUCAUUCUGUGAAUCUAUGAAAAUCAUAAGGCAAGUAGUCGACAAACGACCAUGUGUGCUUAUAUAAAUAAUCAUUCUUGAAGCAGGAUUUAGCUAUAAAAUUCAAUAAUCUUGAUGCUUAUGACCAUAAAUAACUCUAUACACAACGUUGCCUUGAGAUGCUCAUUGAACGGGAACACAUUUUUUAUUAUAUCUCCUCUUCAUAAUCAACCAACCUGAUAAGUGUUACUGAUAAAACUUAUCCGCGUCCUAUAGAUUCAUCUGGAUACCCAAUAAUUUCCUCGUCACCUAGCAACAAAACAUUAUACCAUUAUAUUAAGCACCAAAGAGUUCACUACGACCUUGCACUUUACCUGCCACCAACAUUACACAAGUCACUUGAUUAAUCAGAAUAUUGAUAGAGUAGAUGAAUCAGUGUAUUGCAAACGAUGAAUGUUGUAAUGCAAGUCGAUUAGACUAAGAGUAAGACUAUAUUACAAGAUCACAGAGUGAAUAAGUGAAAGCGUAGAAUAUAUUAAGCAUGGCCAGCCCCUAUGAACAUUUGGGGUAUUACAGAGUAGACCUUUCCGGCCUUCUCGUUGUAAUGGUGGUAGCUUGUGGAGAUGAUAUACAAAUGUCAGCAGAGAUAGUUCUAAAUAUAGACUUAAGAAUCUAAUAUAUAUUAGAGAACAAAAAGAAUAGAUUGUUAAGGUGACGAUUACCUAACAUAUCGUGCUCCGAACAGAGUAACAUAUGAUCGAACAUCGAUGAUGGAAAUAGAGUUCUGAUCUAAAUAAAUAAGCACCCUGAUUUUCCAAGGGGUCACCUGUUUUGACUUAUUCUAGUGGCUCUGUCUCUUGUCCACUGUUUGCUGGCACAACGUGAUAUGGUAAUUCUUCAUGGGGUGAUUCGUGUAGAAGUAUGGGUAUGAAUAGGGGUUAAUAGUGAUGCAGUUAUAAGUGUACCACAAGGGUGCCGAGAUGCGUAUGGUCUCGUGCAUAAUAGCAUAUCACCGCCAAUGUAACUUGAUGUAGUAAGAGAUUUCUUUAUUUUUGGAAAGUCGUAUGGUGUUAUGUUACUCUCAGGCCGUUGGAGUGAAGUGAUUUUAAUGUAUGAGUUCUCCUAUACUCUGUGAUAAAGUGGAUAAAUAUAUAUGGAGGUGCGGUUCUAGAAAAGGGGUAUAGAUAAAUUUCCUCUUCAAGCCUAUUUAAGUCCUGCUCCUUUUAAGUGGAUUAUUUAAUCAACCCUUUUGUAUAUGUGGGGGGAUGUAAUAAGUCGAGAUGUAUUUCUGACCCUCGACAGAGAAGGAGAAAGUAGCAGGAGGUAUAUUUGGUUUCACCCCUGAGUCUAGCGAGAAUCUUUUACAUUUGUCCCCAUGCAAGGAGAAGUCGUUCUUGGUUCAUUGCUUGCUGUUGGUUGUCUACUCCUCGCCUGGUUACUAGGGUAAAAAAAUUUAAUUUUCUCGGUUUUACCAUGUGUGCAUAUCUUAUGUAGAUAAGGUGUGUGUGGUCGCUGGUUAGUAGGAUGAUUGGAGUGGUAGGGUCAACACACUUGGCACACCACAUUGGCUUGAUUUCUUAGGCCUUCAAAUUUCUUCAAAACAGGCACGCCUAUCUUCGGCGGUUGGUUCCAGGUCUAUGGUUGGCUGGACAGGCUUGGGGCCAGGAGUCGGUGCACUCAGCUUCCUAGAGUAUGGGGCUCACACAGAGAGAGAUGAUAUGGCUUUCGUAAAAUGGCUCCACAAUGGGCUAAUGCGUCUCGUGACAACACUGCUUUUGUGUAUUUACUUAUGUGACCUUAUCAGACAGCUCAACGCUCAAGAGAAAGACAUUAGAUGCGGACUAAAGUGACAUAGGACCUAUCGCUUAAUAUAAGGCGCUAUGAAGUCGCAGUCGACUCAAAGACCAAAGCCGACAUGCUACAAGCUCAUGUCACUUAGUGAAGCGCAGACGUCCUUUACACAUGAGAUCGGGGCACAGCAUAAGAGAACUAUGGUCCUAAUCCACGAAGCACUGGUUGGAGUUGAGAGACAAAUGUAUAGAGAAGACGAGGUCACAGGGAUUCAAACUCUGGCCUGAUGCCCUCCAAAGCUUACGCUCAGAAUUGUCUAUAUACUCGGUCGAUAUUGCUGGCUUAUCUGUGUGCUGGUCACGGAUAGGUAAGAUACAGAAUACACUCAAUAAAGGUAGAAAUAAACACCCGUACACUAAGGGAUGGUUUUAGGUAUUCGAAGAGGCUCUCAUGGCUGUGGAGAUGGGUGGUGCACAUGGAAAUACAACAUGUUAACGCCCUGUGUUCAAUGGUAGUGGGUCUUCGCAGGGUGCAGAGAGAUUGAGGAAGUGCUGUGAAUGAGAGCAGAUAAAAGGGGCUUCAAAGAAUAUAAAGUACUGAAGAAGAUGCCCACAAAUGUGGCGAGCGGUAUCGUCUCUACUCCGGCAUUCAGUACGCUGAAGAAGAAAGGCCUAUUAUGCGACCAAUGAAAGGUGGAAGAUGGAAUGAUAUCUUCUCCUCAACAUUGUCUUAACUAGAGUGCCUAGUGUGAGACAAUUACACAAGUGAAGAGGCUCCUCCGCUGUGGUUGUGAUAGUUAUAACUUCCCAGACAGACUAUAUAGUUAAAGGGCGAAGAGUCAACUCUCAAUUAGUAGUGUGACUUUGUUACUCCUACUCGGGUGAGGAAUGAACAAAAUAUGGUUGACUACGGUUCACCGAAAGAAUCAUCCGGCGUGCCAAUUAUUAUAUGGCACGCAGCAGUGACUCGCUUUUAUAUAAGCGGAUGGGGCUCGCGGUGCGAUUGCUGAUAGGACUCCAUUUCUAAUGGAAAAAUUCUGUAUGCCUUUAGCCGAUCCCAAACCAAACAAAACAAUAUAGUCACGGUUUCCUGUGAUGCCCCCUCGAGCUAAAGGGACCCAAUCCUUCCUUGUCGUAUUGGGAGCUUAAAAGGUGGACACCUAACACCCGGAUAGUCCGCUCGUAACAAAGAAGCUAAUAGAUAUUUCCGGUUCACCUUUGGAAAAGGCUUGCUAUUUGAAACGUGAUAUGUUAUACUCGCUGGACGGUCUUGUCUAGAAUAUAAAAAGAUCAGCAGUGCCUCAAGGACUUGUCUACCCUCUGCUUAGCUGAUGAUUUAUCUCGCCUAGUUAGGGAGUCAAUUUGCUUUCCUAUAUGGUGAUAAUAAAAGGAGAUGAGAUAAUGCUCAUCACCAAAUAGCAAAAGGAAAACCCAAAGAAGAAAGCAAAUUCCAAUAAAAAAAUGGCAAAGUUUCAGCCAAUCUGCACAAGCAGGAUGUUUUUGGCUAUAAUUCGACUUUCCCGAAGAGUUUUAAUGCAAGGCUAAUUGGAUAAGGAACCUAAGAGGCUGAUUAUCCUUGUGUCCAAAUUUCACAAUUUUCCCUAAAGCCAAACGUUCCAGUUUUCAAAGUUAAUCCCGCAUAAGUUGUUUUCCCGUCAGAACUACGCAGCUGUAGGAAAAUGACGAGUUGAAGGCUUUCCCCUUUUUUCCUAGUGGUGUACGAAAUAUGCCUGAAAAGAUUAGAGAUAAAGCUACGUUUCCCAUACUUUUACAGAAUUUUCCAAGAGAGAAAUCAACCUCAAGCUCUACGUGCAAGUCAGACUACGUGUUUCCCAAACCAAGGACAAGUCUUCAAGUUUCCCGAACCAAAAAGGAAAAUACCCUCUUUGUUGUGGAAAAGAAAAAGGGAAAGAAAAAAAAAGUCCAAAUCCUACUUACCCAAGGACAAGCAUUUAAUUUUUCCAAAACCUCGAAGGAAAUCACCAAAGCUUUCCAAUAUUUUGAAGGAAAUCACCCUCAUUACCAAAAUUGAAAGAGAUUCCUACCCAAGGAAGGAAAAACAUUUUUUUUCCUACAACCACAAGGAAAAAGUUCAAAAUACACCAAAUGUAUUUUCGUAAAAAAUUUAUGGACAAUCAAUACGCACAAUAAGUAUGUGCUGAUUUAUCCAUUUCCAAAAUUUCUUUCAAGAUCAAGCCUCUACGGCCCUUGAAGAAUUUUUUUUUUCAUUUAUUCAAGACCAAGCUUCUAUGGCCCUUGAAGAAAAAUUUCAUUUCAUUUAAGAUCAAGCCUCUACAGCUCUUAAAGAAAAAUUUCAUUUCAUUUCAUUCAAGAUCAAGCCUCAACGGCCCUUGAAGAAAUGUUUCGUUCAAGAAAUGCGCCUUAACGGCCCUUGAUGAAAUUCAUCAUUUCAAUUCAAGAAAUACGCCUCAAUGGACCUUAAAGAAAUGUUUCGUUCAAGAAAUACGCCUCUACGAGCCUUGAAGAAGCAAACUAAUACAAGAUCAAGUCUCGACAACCCCUUGAAUUAGAACAUUCAUAUUAUAGGACUUCAAAAGAUGUUUCCUACAUGUAACAAGUACAUGCCUACAAUGCGGCUUGAAGUGGGGGCAUUUUUAGACAUGUAAAUUUCGUUGCAUGCAAAUGAUGCAUCAUAAAGCUCCAUGUGGCAUAUGAUUCAUCAUAAAUGGACAAGUCAUCAAUGACAUAUGGCACAAAUCAAGCAAAGGAAGCUCAAAAACAUUCCUAAAACUUGGCAAAAGGGGGAAGAAAUCCUUUAAAAUCUGCAAGGGGUCUAAAAUCUCUCAAAACCGAAAAGAAAGCUAAAGCAUCUUCACAAAACAAGCAAGAAUUGAAGAUUGCUCGCAAAAUAGGCAACAAACCCUAUAGAUUUCAGCCAAGCAAGGGAAAGUGGCUGAAAUUACGACACAAAACAUGCCUAAAUUCUCCUAUGGGGGAAUCAAGACACAAAUCAAAGCCAAAUCCACCCAAAGGCAAACCUUGAGAAGCCUAUAAAUACAAGGUCUUCCCACAAGCAUAAGGGUCGAAAUUCUUGCAUUCAGAAGAACCUCUACCAAACCUUUGAAGACUAAUAUGCUGCCAAAGCUCUCUUCGAAGAACAUUCGAUCAAAGCCAAAGCUUUCUCUCGACCAAAGCCGAAGCACUACCCUUGAAUAAUCAAUAAGCACUCAUGCCGAUUCCUUCAAGACUUUGUUGCAAGCUCAUAAACUUGUAACGACGUUCGAUUCAAGAUCAAGUCGACCCUUGAAUCAACAAAAUCCUACAUCAACAUCAUCUUUGCCGCAUCUUUGAAGCAAUGACCAUCUACGCGUUGUUUUCAAGCUUAAAACUUGAAGUAAUUGUUCAAUCGUUCGUCCGAGAUCAAGUCAUCGCGACCCUUAGAUCAACAAUCAACCAUCUACAUCAAAUUUGAAGACUAAAUCUGGAGAAAAGUUGUAAACAAAGAUUGUAACCUACAAAUUCAAAUUAAUACAAAUAUACUUUAUACACGUGUUCUUGUUUUAUUCGAUACAAAAUUUUCAUGUUUACAGUUAUCUUCCUUUUUCUAGAAGGCUGCUUGGUUUCGUCAAGUCUUUCCAAGGCCAACCAUCAUGGAGGAGAGCUAGCCGUGUUGCUUUGUUUCUUAGGUUUUGACAACCUUUAAAAAACAAAGCUUCGAGGUCUUGGCGUGUCAAGCCACUUGAAAACGAAAGUUUGGUCUUGACCACCAAUGUGAUGAAGUGUCGAAAUUCUAGGUUUUGAAUGAUUCAGCCUAUUAAAGACUGAUGUUCGAGAGGCAGGUUUAGGCUUUUCUUGAUUUUGUUCAACGCUCACGCUGGGGUGUUGAGCGCUAACGUUUUUCGCUUUGCUUGAAAUCUUCACGGGUGUAUUUGGUAAGAAGCUAAGUUCAGCUUGGUUAUUGUAAACUUCAUAACCAUGCUCCUUUAACUUUUUUUUAGUCUCGUGAGGUCUUGUUAUUUUUUGUUGACUGUGUUUGCAUUCUUCUUUUCAAAAUUUGAGGAGGAGGUGAAAUCAUACCCAUCCUUUGACAUGAGUUUGUAGGCGUUUGGGUCAAAACCUUAUUCGGUCAUCUUGGUUGGAAGAAAGCUUGGUUCCGCCUCCUUUGGCAAGGGUUUUACAAAACCUUGUGGUGGUUUUGAAACUUUAGCGUUGCCUAGCUGUGCUAGAGGUAAAACUGCAUUUGUCUUUAGCAGCUUUACUUCGUUUAUGAGCAGUUAUGUGUCGGCUUCGCUUGUUCUAGUUUCGAAUAGGGAUUGCCCAUUCUUUCUAUUUGAUCAUUUUGAGGGCAUCACACUCAUUUUGGUUGUUUUGGGUUUAGCAGGCUCAUCAUCAUUUUUUCUUAAAGAUGGCACGGCUUCCUCUUCUUGCUUCUUGGGCAUAGUUUGCCACUUUUUCCUUUUGGGUUGGGAUUUGCCUGUAGAUUUGAUCUUUUUUUAAGAGCUUCAAGUACCAUGUCUUCAUCCAUGUAGAACUUGGCAUCCGCGAAGUGUGAUUCGGCUUCAAUGAAUGGCUUAAUGUCGCCUUGUAUCACAUUCACCCAUUUUCGGUAGAACUUUAGGCAUUAAGGAAGGGUGGACGACAUUACUCCAGUCCCGUGGAUCCAAGGCCUUCCUAAGAGCAAGUUGUAGAUAGUUCUUGCAUCAAUCACAUGGAAUAACAUGCUUGAUUUGAGUUCGCCAAUGGUCAUUUCCACUUGGAUCAUGCCCAUCGCUAUUUGUCCUUCUUGGUUAAAUCCUUGGAUUAGGAGGCGGCUUCGGGAUAAUGCAUCUACCAUGAUACCGAUUGUGAUCAUUGUUGACUUUGGCAUGAUGUUUAUGGCCGACUCAUCAUCCACAAGCAUGCGUUGAUUUUGUUCUCUCUCACGUACCCAGAGACGAAGAGAUGACGGUUGUGAGACUUUGACCUUAGCACCAAGUCUUCGUCAGUGAAGUUGAUUGUAUCAUGGGCAGCACAGCGUGUGGCAUACUCAUGUGGCUAAAGUUUCAAGCCUUCGUCCUUGCUUUCUUGCACCUCGUGGUCGUCGGGACUUGUCAAGACCGCUAUGUCUUCAGGUCUUCUUUGGGCUUAAGGGUUUUCUCUUCCUCGAUGGCGAUAACUUUACCUUUUGAAGGCUCUUCUAUCUCUACGUUAACCAUGUGAUAGGUAACAGUAAUGCACUAUUGGAAGAAUUCCUUCGGGAAGUACUUGUGCAAAGAGACAAGAAUGUGUGGCUCUUGCUCCAUAGGUUUCCCAGCGUACGUUGGCUUAGCAGCUCUUAUUUCUUUUGGGAUACCUACUGUUGUGGUAGCGGUGCUUUGUCCCUAGUUCCACUUUUGGCCUUGUGGCUUGUGGUCUUGGCUUCCUUGUCCUUUUGUAGGUCACCAAUGUUCAUCCUUCUUCAUCAUCGGUAAGCGUAUUUUGGUCGCUUGCCCCCAGUGAUGGCUGUACAAAAAGUGUUGUGUGGCUUGAACAUGGUCGAGAGUGGUCAUGUGUCACUUGGAGAAGCACAAGAUCGAAGGAUCCAAACACAAUUAUGGUAGUGUGUGUUGCGGCCGUGUCUUUCAAUUCUAGUUCAAUUUGCCAUUGUUGUGAUAGCUUUAUGAUGAGCUCCUUGAGGAUGAAACACUUGUCAACAAGAUGACUCACGAUAUGAUGGUAUUUACAGUACCUAGGAUCGUUAACGCGAUUCAUCUCUUCAGGACGCUUGCAUUCGAGUAGCUUGAUCACCUUUUUUCCAACAAGUCGUCUAACAUUGCAGCCACUUUAGAGUCAAGAAAAAGGUAUGUCUUCUGCUCCAGCUCCCUCAAGGUGUUUUUGUAUCUGUCUUGGGUGUGAGAAGGCUCACCUCUCCUUAUCUCCUUCGCUUUGUUCUUAGAAGAAAUCUUGACGGGCCCAAAAGAGGGCUUGAUGGGGUUAGCGUUGACAGUAAAAACUUCCUUGGUGGGCUUCUUCCUAGUCUUGUCCACUUUUGGAGUAAACACCUUGUCCUUCUUGAAGUUGGUGAUUGGCUCAUUUUUCCCAUGAUUGGCAAUACUCAGCUUCAUGUCAUAGGAUUGAGUUGCCAAUUCAUUAAACGUUUCGUAGUUUUAUGCCUUAGAGAAUGUAAUGUGACCCUUAGUGUAUGCCUUGAACACACAUCUGAAUGGCGGAGGUAUCAAAAAGCCAGUCUUUGCAAUCCAUACUUAAUGAAUGCCAUCUGUUGAUGUAGUCGACGACACGUUCGUCCUUCCACUGCUUCAUAGUUGUCAACUCUGACAUGUUUACAGUGCGGCGAGUACUGCAGAAGUGGUUAAGGAAUUUCCUUUCAAGCUGAUCCCAACUGUUGAUAGAUUUGGGCUCGAGGUUGGUGUAUCAAUCAAAGUCGUCACCUUUCAGAGAGCGUACGAAUUGCUUGAUAAGGUAGUCAUCCUCCAUCCUAGCGUUGUUGCAAGUUUCUAUGAAAUAGGCAAUAUGUUGUUCGGGAUUGCCCUUUCCAUUGAAUUGCAUGAAUUUUGGCGGUUGAUAACCCCUUGGCAUUCUCAAGGCAUCAAUCUUCUUGGAAUAUGGCUUUGAAUUCGGCACAGAGUCAUCUGAGCUCCCUUCGUACUGCGUCUUGAUGGUGUUAGUGAUCAUCAUCUGCAGCUGCUGGAUAGAAAGAGAUCCCAUGAGCAUCGUUGCUUGGUCCAGCUUCUCCUCGGCUUUUUCUAUCAGAGGUUCAUCAUCUUCAUCAGUUUCCUUCUAUUUUUGGUUAACCUUUAGGUCGUGGUCAGCUUUUUCGUGAUGCUGCGCCUCUAGUCGGUUAACGAGUGUGUCAAUUUGCAAGUCAUUUUCCUUCACGAUCCUUAUUAGCCUUGCAAUUGUUUCAUUCAUUUAAGCUAACUGUUCCUCAAUGGAAGUUGCACCAGUAGUCAUGACUUGCAUGGCUACGAGAUAUGAGCUGCUGCUUGAGUCGACAUUAGAAGUUAACGACUCGGAGUACCACAUCGAACUUUCUUCCCUUGGUGCUCUUAGUGAGGCCAGGGUGAUCAUGGCCUUGUACCUCGAGUGUUCUUGCUCAUUUGGCAGAGUUGAUGUAGGGGGUGGAAGGCACGGUAGAGAAAGAGUUAUUGCCUUGCUUCGAGUUAUGACGCCUAAAUGCCACCACUUGUGGCAAGGAUGUUCUUGUUCUUCGCGUUGGUUGCGGGAACAACUUGAUCCUUUCUUGAUGUCAUGUGUGUUUUUUGUGGAUUUAAAGACAGAGAUGAGAGGCAGAGAAGGUCCUAUUGGGCGUGCCAAAUUUGUAAACACGAAAAAAUCUAUAUCAAAUUAAACAGGAACACGUGUACAAAGUAGAUUUGUAUUGAUGAAUUUGUAGGGUUGCAAUCUCUAUUUACCAUUUUUCCUCUGAUUCUAUCUUCAAAUUUGAUGUAGAUGCGUAGGUUGUUGAUCCAAGGGUCACGAUGACUUAAUCUCAGACGAACAAUUGAACGUGCUUCAAUUUUUUAGCUUGAAACAAUGCGUGGAUCGUCUUUACCUCAAGGUGCAAAGAUGAUGUUGAUGCGGGAUUUCGUUGAUUCAAGGAUCUUGGCUAAUUGAUCUUGAAAUGAACAUUGUUACAAGUUUUGAGCUUGCAACAAAGUCUUGAAGGAAUCGGCAAAUGUGCUUGUUGAUUCUUCAUGGAGUGCUUUGGCUUUGGUCGACAGAAAGCUUCAGCUUUGGUUGCGUGCUCUUCGAAGAGGGCUUUGGCAGAGUAUUAGUCUUCAAAGAUUUGUGCAGAGGUUUUUCUCAAUGUGUAAUUUUUGACCCCUAAGUGUGCCUUAGGACCUUGUAUUUAUAGACUUCCAAAGCCAUACAUUUGGAUGGAUUUGGCCUUGAUUUGGGUCUUGAUUCAUCCAUAGGAGAAUUUAGGCAUGUUUUGUGUCUUAAUUUCAGCCACAUUCCUCAUAUUGGCUGAAAUUUAUAGGCAUUGUUGCCUAUUUGUGAGCAAUCUUCAAUUCUUACUUAUUUUGUGAAGAUGCUUUGGCUUUCUUUCCGGUUUUAAGAGAUUUUGGGCCCUUUGCCGAUUUUAAAGGGGAUUUUCUCUCUUUUGUCAAAUUUUGGGAAUGUUUUACACUUCCUUUGCUUGAUUUGUACAUAUGUCAUUGAUGACUUGUUCAUUUGUGAUAAGUCAUAUGCUACGUGGAGCUUUGUGAUGCAUCAUUUGUAUGCAACGAAAUUUAUAUGUCUAAAGUCGCCACAAAGACAAGUACUACCCUAUUCCUUCUGACUAAGUGAGCUAUACUCCAACAACAACGUUGAGUACCAAGCGCUGAUCAUUGGACUCCAAAUGGUGACUCCAAACUCAUAAUUAAUCAAUUCUUAACUGAAUACAAAUUAAGGAAAGAUAAUCUCAUCCCAUACUUUCAGCUAGCAACUUAACUACUACAAAAGUUUGAGGUCGUGAUGCUAGAACAUGUGCUAAGAAAAGAAAAUCAAAUGGUGGACGCUCUUGCUAAUCUAGGCUCAAGUAUAGCACUAGAAGAAGACGAAGUUGCGGACGUGCCUGUUUGCCAAAGAUGGGUGAUCCUACUCAUUACUAAAAUGCUACUAGAUAACACAAACAUUGUCUUAGUACUUCCAGUCGACACUAAAGAAUGAAGACAGCCGUUGAUCGACUACUUGGAGCAUGGAAAGCCUCCAAACGAUCCUAGACACUGCUCUGAAAUACGUCGACGAGCACCUCGCUUCUUCUACUACAAAGGAACACUCUACUGAUGCUCUUUUGAAUGAGUACUUCUAAGAUGCCUAGGUGAGGAAUAAGUUAAUCAAGCCAUGGAAGAAGCACACUCAGGCGUAUGCGGAGCACAUCAGUCUGGACCAAAACUACACUUCCAGCUUAAGAUAAUGGGUUACUACUGGUUGAGCAUGAUGAAUGAUUGUUUGGAACACGCCAAAAGGUUCCAAGCCUACCAAUUCCAUGCCAACUUCAUACAUCAACCACCUGAGCCAUUACACCCUACAGUUGCUUCAUGGUCAUUUGAUGCAUGAGGAUUGGACGUCGUAGGACCAAUCACACCAAAGUCAUACGCAGGAGAAGCUUACAUCCUAGCUGCAAGAGAUUACUUCUCCAAAUGGGCUAAAAUCGUACCCCAAAGGGAAGUCAAUAAGAAAAUUGUCAUCCAUUUCAUCAAGAAGCAUAUCAUCCACCAAUAUGGUGUGCCUCAGUACAUCAUCACUGACAACGGAAAACAGUCAUCCAACCAACUCAUGGACGAGCUCUGCGAGAAAUACAAGUUCAAGCAUCACAAGUCUUCAAUGUAUCAUGCUCCGACCAAAGGUCUCGUGGAAACAUUCAACAAAAUGAUGUACAACCUUUUGAAGAAGGUAAUCAGCCGAACAAAGAGAGACUGGCACGAAAGAAUAAGCGAAGCACUUUGGGCAUAUAGGACGACACAUAAAAUUCUUACCCAAGCUAUGCCUUAUUCUCUUGUAUAUGGCGUGGAAGUUAUUUUUUCACUCGAAAGUCAAUCCCCUCACUAAGGAUGGCUAUACAAGAAGGCUUGAUUAAAGAGGAAAAUGCAAAGCUACGACUUGAAGAGUUGGAAGCACUCGACGAAAGGAGGCUUGAAGCUCAACAACACUUGGAAUGCCAUCAAGCACGGCUAUCCAAGGUAUUCAACAAGAAGGUCCGCCCAAGGUUUUUCCAAACUGGAGAUAUUUUCUUGGCAUUACGAAUGCCUAUCAUCACAACUCACAAGACAAAAAGAAAGUUCACAUCAAAGUGGGAUGGACCUUACGUAAUACAAGAGGUCUACACCAACGGCUCCUACUUAAUCAUGGCGGAAGACGGCUUAAAGAUCGGCCCCAUCAAUGGAAAAUUCUUUAAGCAUUACUACCCUUAAACCAAAGAAGCAAUGCUCUUCACCUGCAUGAGCCCAAACUACACACGGCACAAAGCUCCUCGCCUGCAAAAGCCUAAACUACACAUAGCAACAAUGCUAUUUGUUCUCACGAGCUUAAAAGGUGACACCCAAUGCUCUUUGUUCGCACGAGCUUAAAAGGCGACACCCAAUGCCCUUGGACCACAAGAGCAUAAACUAUGUAUGGUAAAAAAAAAAAAAAAGUCAAAAUCAUCAAAAGUAAUCCAUCAUUCCUUUGAACUACGUCAUGACUUGACCCUUCCUCAAUCGAGGGUACGUAGGCAACUUGAAACUUGAAAACUUCAAGUACAGUUACAUCAUCAACAAAAACCCAAAUACUUUGAAGAAUAAAGAGAAAAUUCAAGAAUGUGGAUACUUUAUUUCUUUAAAUGAAGAAUUCAGCUACAAAGUCGUAUUACAAAAUGAGCAAAAAAGCAAAGAAGGCUUAAAGUACAAAUAACAGAAGACACUACUUGAAAGCUAUGUCCCUAAAACAACGAUGACGAUCUUCAAGCAAGCCUUCCAAAGUCUUCAAAGUCUCCACAUCGGUGGGGGACAAGGUGGGCACUUCCAUGGCUGAACCUUUCUCUUGCUCUAGGCGUGAAAUCUCCUCUUGAUGCUGAGAAAGUAUAGCUUCCUUCUCCAAGAGAAAACCUUGAAGUCGUGAUGCUUCAAUUUCAAAUUGCUCUCACUCACGAGCUAAUGCUUCUAGACAUGCUUAGACAGAAGCUAAAGAAGUCCUUGUGACUUGAUAACCUUUCGAAGAAACUUACUAAGAAGACUGAACUUGGGAAAUUGAUAAGUCUAUUGUCGCAAGUUGUUGAGCUCUAACCUGUGAACUCAACUUCUUUGAGGAAAUAGCAUACAAGUAAGAAUAAUCAGUUGAGGUGCCCAUAACUUUUGCAAUCUUGUUUCUCAAGAGUGAGGAAUUAACAUUAAGGUUGUCAAUCCCAGAAAUAAGCUUCGACAAGUCCUCAUUGAGCAAAGCAAGGUCCUGUACUGGGCACUUUGAAAUCUUAUUCUCAAUGUGGCUCUUGAUAUCCAUAGCCGCUCGAAGGUUGAUGCGAUGGAUAAGCUCCUCAGUGCCACUAAGGUUCUGCCCUCUAAGAGGGAUCUCGGAGCUAGAUGGCAAAUGUGUUGGACGCAUGAUGAACUCAUGCAUACACAUGGAAAACUUAGGCAACUUGGCGGAUUUGUAAUAAGCUCUGCAUCGGGUGGGUCUCCAAUCUCCUCGUCCAUGGGUAGACUACUUCCAAAUAGCAUUUCCAUAAAUGAAUGAACACCCAUGUUCACCAAAUCAAAGGAACAAGAGGGUCUAGCCUAAAGAAGACAAAGAAAGAUGUUCGAAACAAAAGCUAAACCAAUGAAAGCAGGAGAAAUCACAAGAAAGAAGGAAAUACAUACAUAUUUCUCAAGUGACGCACGACCAUCAAAUUGAGGAGGCCUAAACACUUUCUUCUUCUUAUGAUGGAAAUUGACAUCACUGUCAUCCUGAGCACCUUCAAGUGGUCGCUUGUUCAAAACUUGUUGACGUUACAGUAAAACAAACUCAUCUUCGUCACUAGCCUCUUUUGAAGCAUCCGAAGGCUGAAAAGAUAAAAACGGGCAUUGAAGAGCUAAGGUCGUAGGUCUAUCUUGCAAAGGAGCUGCGCUCGCACAAUUGAAAGGUGCCAAUUGCGUAAGAACCGCAGAACAGGGCAUCAUUGCAUGAACAAGAAGAAUUGGUGCCACUUGCCAUCCCUAAGUUUUCAUGGUGUACCUUUAACCACUAAUCUACAUAGGCUCGGGUCACUGGAUUACUCUUGAACUCGUCAUUGGCUAGUAGGGUGAUAGAAGCAUUUGUGCAUGCACGAGUACAAGACUCCCAAUGCACAUACAUGGCUUACAAGGAUUCCAACUGUGCGUUUUCCUUCAGCUUGCUUGGCACAUGUUGGACAAAGCCAUACUGCCUACUAAAACGGUGAGGACUAUACGGUUGAACAAUACAUCGGUCUUCUUGCCGCAAAGAAACAUAACCCAAGCGAAAACUUGUAAAAUAAGACAAGUUUGAGAAACGAAUGUGUGAAUUAUCUAUGAGGCCUCACCGUUCCGAGCCAACCCUUGCCAGAUGAUCCAUUCUCAAACAUUCACAGCUUCUAAACAACGCUUGCGCAUGCAAAUCAUCAAGGCUCUUUGCAGAAAGCACGCCAGAGUACUUUCUCUUCAAAGGCCCCAGCUUGGCUGAAGUUGACUAAGAAGGCCUCAACUUGUCUAAAGUUGACGAAGAAAAAUGAGUGCCAAAAUAGUCACCCAACCAACCGUACACAUAGUGGUUAGGGAGUACCACAGCACAAUCUUUAGUGCUCGCUAAGUUCGAAACAAUACACAAGCUGUCAUAAAUAUUGGCUAAGACUGGAAUGGUGAGGCUAAAUGAUUCACCUGCAGCCAUCUUGCUAGCCACUUUAAAGACUUCAGGAUGGAUAAAGUUAACGUCAUCUUUGGGGAAACAAACUUACAAAGCCAACAAGCUAAGAAAGUGGCUAGGUAAGAUUCUUCUACAUGCUCUGACACUACACCAAGUUCGUCAAACACUUUCAACUCAGUAGGAACAUGGCGCUUAACUGAACCAAUGGCACCUGAUAGAUCUAAGUCUCCAUUUGGCUUGGUUGUCUUGUUGCAGCCACUUUUCUUUAAAGGCUUAUUGUACUUCAUGGCACCCCAAUACCAAAAUCGGAUUGAUGAAGAUAUCUUCACACCUGACUUACCUUAAGGCUCCUGGGAAAGCUUGUGAUACGCCCAAGACAAAUAGCGGCAACUAGUAGGCAAUAAUCAGCUAUUGUGAUGAGAAAAUUCCUCCACACUAGGAAUAACCUGGUCAAAUAACUUACCAUGGAUCGGCAAGCCUCUUAUCUUAUGGAGAUCCUAAAGUGAAAUCGAUAUCUCCCCUUGAGUUGUGUGAAGUGUGUUGAUCGUUGAACAUCAAUGCUUAAAGAAUGCACGAAAGACAGAAGGAUGAUGAUCAUGACUAAACAAAGAUGCGUAUACGGCAUGAUAAAGGCCCACGUUAGUAAGCACAUCUUUGGAUUGGCUCAAGACAUCUUUAACCACUCCCAGUAAAACUCAGCAAAGAUGACAUCUCUAAUAGUCGACAAAGUGCUAUUCUAAGUCAUAGCUCCGCUAUGGAUGCGAUCGCCAAGAAGCUCAAAUGAAGCCAGUGGAUUGUCACAAACAUGGUGCAAAGGUUUCAAGAUAAGAAUCCUCGAUGUACACACCUUCUUCUUUGUAUUUAGUUGACCAAAAAUUAUCACCUCCCCAGAUGACCACGACUUGAUAUGCAUCGAGUUGUCUUUCACAAGAAGAACAAGCGCCUUAGGGCUAGUCAACAGUGUACAAAGCUUCAACGUCGUUCCCUUAUCUUGCAAAUCGCCUUCCUUUGCAAGAAUGGUGAUGGUAUUGCUCUUAAAGAACUUGAAAAAUACCAUGGCUGCAACAAAACAAACAAGGCAACAUAAGCAUAAGAGUGGGGCGGCAAGAAAAAAAAAUUGCUUCACUAAAGCAAAAGACAUGCGAGACAAACCUCGUGAGCGUUGAAGGAUGACGAUGACAAAGUCACUACGACAAAAAGAAAUCAGCCACAAAGCUUGAGCAGCACAACAAUGAGGGCAGCUACAAGACGGUCCUUCAAAGCAUGCUACAGUAGCAAAGAAAACCAAAAUGCUACACAAUUGCACUACGCAACCUCGCAAUGAUUACGCAAGCAGUUUCUUGCAUUGCACGGCAACAUCACCACCGAGGAAAACUGUGACCAAAGGGCACUACACAACGUAACCUCGCUGUAGUCUUUCGCAUAGCACCACAUGGUAAAAGGUGAUGCACUACAACAAGCACCAAGCAGUAAAAGGCACAGCUCCAAGUAGCAAAACCUACAACACUAAGCAACAACAAGCACAUGGCAAGCACAGAGGCAGUGCACGACAAGGGUGGUAUGUGACAAAACGUACACCCAAUUGUCCUAUAAAUAAGGGUCAAUUUCUUCCUAAUGCUAUAAGGGAAAUACAUACCAAAUAGCAAAAGGAAAAUCAAAACAAGGAAGCACAUUCUACCUACAAGAAGGAAACAAAUUUCAAGCAAAAAAGGCAAUGCGUAUGCACGGCAAUAAAGGGGAAAAAAUACUUCUUUUUGUUGCAGUCCUAUUAGAAUAAGAAUGUGAUUGUGUAAAUCCUAGUAUAACUUGGAAUAUCUCUUAUAUUUCUAUCAGGAGUAUAUUACCUAUUAAAUGUUGUAAUCCUAAAGGGAAAGCUUUUUACCUAUCCUACUACUAUAAAUAAAGGCACAAUGGGAUGGAAUAAAACACAUCCACAAUUAUGCAUCUCUCUUCUUCUCUCUCUAUGCCGCACUCUCUCCCUCUCUCUAUGGCCUCAAUAAUUGUUUAGUAAAUUAUGCCUACAACACUUUUUUUUUUUGCAACAAAAAUCAGCAAAGAAAACAAAACAAAACAAAAAAAAAGGAAAGGGCUUCAAAAUUUUCAAAAACAUCAAAGGAAAGUACCUCUCCUUGCCAAAAUACAAAAGGAAAUCCCUCCAAGGGAAGGACAAGUCUUCAAGUUUCCCAAAUCAAAGGGGAAAACACCCUCCUUGGCCCAAAAGAAAAAAAAUAUGAAAAGGGAAAGGAAAAAAAAAAUGCAAAUCCUACUUACCCAAGGACAAGAUUAAAGCUUUCCAAAAUCUUGAAGGAAAUUAUCAAAGCUUUCCAAAACCUUGAAGGAAAUCACCAGAGUUUUCCAAAACCUUGAAAGAAAUCACCCUCAUGCCAAAAUUGAAGGAGGCUCCAACUCAAGGAAGAAAAAAGCAUUUUCCCCACACCCACAAUGAAAAAAUCCAAGCCUCAAAAUAUACCAAAUGUAUUUUGCCAAAAAAAAUUUGGAAAAUCAUACGCACAAUAAGUAUGUGCCGAUUUAUCCAUUUUCAAAAAAAAAUUCAUUCAAGAUCAAGCCUCUACGGCCCUUGAAGAAAAUUUCCAUUUCAUUCAAGAUUAAGCUUCUACAACCUUUGAAGAAAAUUUUCAUAUCAUUCAAGUCCAAGCCUCAACGGCCCUAGAGGAAAUGUUUCGUUCAAGAAAUACACCUUAAUGGCCCUUGACAAAAUUCAUCAUUUCAGUUCAAGAAAUACACCUCAACGCCCCUUGAAGAAAUGUUUCGUUCAAGAAAUACGCCUCAAUGGCCCUUGAUGAAAUCAUCAUUUCAGUUCAAGAAAUACGCCUCAACGGCCCUUGAAGAAAUGUUUCGUUCAAGAAAUACGCCUCUACAGCCUUUGAAGAAGCAAACUAAUUCAAGAUCAAGUCUCGACGACCCUUGAGUUAGAAUAUUCGCAUUGCAGAACUUCCAAAACACAUUUCCUACAUGUGACAAGCACAUGCCUACAACGAGCCUUGAAGUGGGGGCAUUUGUAGACAUGUAAAUUACGUUUCAUGCAAAUAAUGCAUCACAAAACUCCACGUGGCAUAUGACUAUCACAAAUGAACAAGGCAUCAAUGACAUGUGGCACAAAUCAAGUAAAGGAAGCUCAAAAGCAUUCCUAAAAUGCGGCAAAGGGGAAGAAAUCUCCUUAAAAUCGGCAAGGGGCCCAUAUUGCUCCCAAAACCAGAAUGAAAGCUAAAGCAUCUUCACAAAACAAGCAAAAAUUGAAGAUUGCUCGCAAAAUAGGCAAGAAAGCCUUAUAGAUUUCGGCCAAGAAAAGGAAAGUGGCUGAAAUUAAGACACAAAACAUGCCUAAAUUCUACCAUGGAUGAAUCAAGACACAAAUCAAUGCCAAAUCUAUCCAAACGCAAGCUUUGAGAAGUCUAUAAAUACAAGGUCCUCAGACAAGCAUAAAGGUCGACAAUUUCUACAUUGAAAGGCCAAAAUUCUCACAAAAGGAGAACCUCUGCCUUUGAAGACUAAUACGCUGCCAAAGCUCUCUUCGAAUAACAUAUAACCAAAGCUGAAGCUUACUUUCGGCCAAAGCCGAAGCAUUCUCUUGAAGAAUCAACAAGCACUUGUGCCGAUUCCUUCAAGAGUUUGUUGAAAGCUUAAAACUUAUAACGAUGUUCGAUUCAAGAUCAAGUCGCCAAGACCCUUGAAUCAACAAAAUGCCACAUCAACAUCACCUUUGCCGCAGGUCAUACACAAACCUAGAGGCAAAGACUAUCCACGCAUUGUUUCAAACUCAAAAUUUGAAGCAAUCGCUCAAUCGUUCGUCUGAGAUCAAGUCAUCGUGACCCUUGGAUCACCAACAUAUGCAUCUACAUCAAAUUUGAAGACUGAAUCAGAGGAAAAUUGUAAACAGAGAUUGUAACCCUACAAAUUCAUCAAUACAAAUCUACUCUAUACACGUGUUCUCGUUUCAUUCGUUAUAGAAUUUUUGUGUUUACAAUGACUUUAGAGGAUUUUAGAGUCAAUGAAUAUAUGACCAAAUGCGUGCUGCUUGUGAACCUCUAAACAUUUCAGAGUUGUAUGAGUACAUCUUUUUAAGGACGAGGAAAGAAGAAAAACAGAUUCCAAACCAUAAUUCUUAUUGGUGCAUCAGACAUAUACACGUACAUAUGUUGCCAUGACAUGUCUCCUUGUGGUUUUAAGAAAAAUAAUUUUUUGAUCAUGCUCACAGACAGAGGUGUUUCUGAGACAGGAAUUAUGGGCCGGAGUUAUUGAUGGGGCAGGAGGCCAUGAUGAGUACACUUCCAUGAAGUGGUGUAACUUUUUCUAAGCAGGAGUUUACUUAAAGAUCUCCAUCACCCAACAAUUACAGACAAAACAUUCAUAUUUAAUGCCUCUAAAUCCAGCACCAGUUGCCAAAGCCAUGAACUCUUCUCGGCUCCGCUCCUUUGCUCCCCGGUUAAGAGUCAGCAUAAGCACAUCAAUCUGGGAUGUGCUCUUCACGGCGGUGCUAGUCUCUGGCAUCGCCGGAAGAAGUGCUUCCACGAUAAUCACUUUUCCAUUGUCUGGAAUAGCGUUGUAACAAUUUUUCAACAACUUUAUGCAGUCUUGGUCAUUCCAAUCGUGAAGUAUCCACUACAAAUUUAUCAAAAGAUACAUUGUAACCAUUGUUUUUAUGACCUCAAACUAAAAAAUAAAAAAAAUUAAUGCUCGAGAAAUUGAAAAAUUACCUUCAUAAAAAUGGCAUCCCCAGAUGGAACACUUGCCAACAUGUCUCCUCCAACAUGUUCGACCCCUGCAAAAAUAAAUUGACUCCUAUUUUAAGCUGCAUGCUUGUGCAUGAUAAAUAAAACUAAGAAGGAAAAUGAUGUUUACCAGGAUAUGAAGGGGCAUGUUUUACAACAUGAGGCAAGUCGAAAUUGAUACCCUUAAUAUGAGGAUAUUUAGAAGUGAUUACACUAAGAUUCACUCCCACAUUACCGCCAACGUCAACAAGUUGAGUAAGUUUCUCAAAACCCUUGUAGACAUGAACAAUCUUCUUCAUGACAAUAGCGGUGUGGUUAAACAUUCCUGUGCUGAAAACUUGAUUAAACCUGGGGUCUAAAUCUAGAUACUCAAAAGAAUGGAUACCAUGGACCCUCUUAAAUGGAGUUCCUCCUUCAGUAACUGCUUCUUUUAGCUGGGGCCUAUCAAUGUCAAAGUGUUACCACCCAAGUUAGAUUUAAAAAGAGAAAAUUACUAUUAAUUAGGCUAAUUAGGAAGAAAAAAACAAGCAUGACACCAAUUUAUUUCAUCAAUGACUGAUGUGGAAAUUUCUAAUUUGUUGUGAAUAAAUAAGUGGCAAGUGUUUCUAGGCAAAAUUCAGGAUCAUUGCUCCGAUUAAUAGGGCCAAGAGAAAAGGGUUAAGACAAUGGUUACAUAGCAGGGCCAAGAGAGUAGUACUAAACAGACCAGUUGUCUAGUAAGAUCUUGUCUUGAAUGAAUGACAUCAAGGGGCCUAAAGAAACACCAUCUUCAUUAGUCACAAAGUAGUUGGACACAGGGCCAAGGCUGUAGAGCCUUUGAGAAUCAGACCCAUCUUCUUCAUUAGCAACAAAAGAGCAGAUGAGAAUAGAGUGACUGGCUAGGAGCCUUAGAAUACGGUCCAACAUCAUCGGUGCCUCAGAAUUCCUGGUGCCGCUGCCGAUAUGGGCUACAAUCUCUGAUGAAGAGAGCUUGGCACCAGGACCGGCUUUUGCUAUGAUGUCGAAAACGCCUAACUCGAUUGCUGAUUGCAUAGACAUGGACAGCACUGAAGAAAACGCAAUCUGCAUGGCAUAGCCGAAGUUUUCCUCUUCUUCCAGCUGCAGGGCCAUUGGACUGUCUAUAUUUGUAUUGUGAUGCUUAAUGCCACUUGAAUGUGUUACUUGUCUUCUAUAUAUACUAGCCAAUGAGCACACACUCUGUAUGUAUGAACAAUUUCAUUUUGUUUUUUGUUUUUUAUUAAGGAAUGUGAUUAGUUUUUUACAUUUUAAAAAGAGUAUGAAAAAAUGAUUGUGAGACAUUUUCUCUUAAGAAGUGCAUAUUUUAUCUUAAUAUUACAUAAUUACUGUUUUGUCCUCCUUAUGUAAAUAUCGUGUAUCAAAAGUGGGGAUAAAAUAGGAAAAAUAAGGAAAUGAUUGUCAUUUUAUCAAAAGAUACAAAAUUACUAUUUUGCCCUCCUUAUGUAAGUAUUGUGUAUUAAAAGUGAGGGCAAAAUAAGAAAAAAAUGGCAAAAAGUUGACAAUGAGGAUUUUCUUAAUAAUAGUAUAGAUAAAGCCAGAACUUCCUUUUGGUUAAUUCAAGGUCCGAUAAUACUUUUUCUUUGACUAUAAUAUUAAAAUUAAGGGAUUUUCUAGCUUUAAUCCUUAAAAAAGAUUGAAAUUUAAAAUAAACCUAGUGUUAGAUUACAUAUUGAUUAUAGUCCCUUGAUAUGUCCUUAAUUCAAAAUAAUUAAUGUGUAUUUUAUUCAAUGUCUCCCAUUAAAUAUUUAAAUUUAUUAAUAUACACAUUUUGUCACACCCUGACCUGGGCCCCACCACAUCCUGAGCUCAAUUCCGCCGUAACUCGAUAUUGUCUGCUUUGGGCCCUAACCACGCCCUUACGGUUUUAUUUCUAGGAACUCACGCGAGCAAAUUUUCCCAGUGGGUCACCCAUCCUAGAAAUGCUCUGGCCCCUUACUCGCUUAACUUCGAAGUUCCUAGAGAACCCGAAACCAGUGAGCUCCCAAAAGGCAUUGUGUUAGGAAGAGGUGGGCAUGUACAUAUAAGGCAUAGAGGAUCCACUUCCCUGGGCGAUGUGGGAUCUAACAAUCCACCCCCCAUAGGGUUCCGAUAUCCUCGUCAGUACACUUCCGGUCAGGGAUUGGCUUUGAUACCAAAUUGUCACAUCUCGACCCGGGCUCGACUCCGCCGUAGCACAAUAUUGUCUCCUUUGGACCCCAACCACGCCCUCACGGUUUUGCUUCUGGAAACUCACGCGAGCAGAACUUCCAGUGGGUCACCCAUCUUGGGAUUGCUCUUGAGCGAACUCGCUUAACUUCGAAGUUCCGAUGGAAUCCAAAGUCAGUGAGUUCCCAAAAGGCCUCGUGCUAUAUGGAGGUGAGCAUGUACAUAUAAGGCACAUCACCUCAUUUCUGUUGGUCGAUGUGGGAUGUUACACAUUUUAAUAUAUUUUUUUACCAAACCAAAGUUUUUUUAAAUUUAUUAAUUUUAUUUAGCAUUCUUCAAACUUGAAAAACUCAAUUAAUGUACCUAAAUGUUAGUACCGAAAUGUAUUAUAUUGAAUUAAUAUAUUCAAAUGUUAGUACCGAAAUGUAUGUACCAAAUAUAUGCACUGAAAUGUAUUAUAUUAAACUAAUAUACCUAAAUGUGUAUACCAAAAUGUAUGUACCGAAAUGUAUUAUAUUGAAUUAAUGUACCGAAAUGUAUUAUAUUGAAUUAAUGUACCAAAAUGUAUUAUAUUGAAUUAAUGUACCUAAAUGUUUAUAUCAAAAUGUAUAUAAUAAAAUGUGUGUACCUAAAUGUAUGGACUAAAAUGUAUUAUAAUGAAUUUAAUGUCCUAAAUGAAGAAGACAAAGUAUGUUGAAAUAUAUUGUAAAAAAAAUUAGUUUAUCGAAAUGAUUACAACAAAAAUAUAUCAUGAUGAAUGAAAUGAAAAUGAAAAUGAAAAUUAUAAUGAAAUAAAAUUAAUACAUUAAAAUUAGAAAGAAAAAGAGAAAUAUUUAAAACAUCAAAAAUAUUAUUAAUAAAUGAGGUGAUUAAUGUAUCAAGAGAUUAAAAUUAGAUUUUGAUCUUACUCAUGAUUUUAGUUUAAAAGUCAUAAUUGAUAAGGAUUAAAAUGAAAUUUCCUAUAAAAUUAAUAUGUUAAACUUACAUUUCUUUUCAUUUGUCUCCGUUUGAGUUUUAUUAAAUCAUACUCCUCCCCACCCCGCAUCUCCACUUGGAACAAUUGCAAACAUGUCAACUCCUGCAUGUUGCUGCAACUGUACGUAUUGCAUGGCUUAAAUAUUACAUAUAUAAUUAUUAAUUAAAACUUAAUUAAUUAUCACAAUAAGAACGAGCAUGUUAUAAACUUGAGGUAAGUUGUAGUUGAUUCCCUUAAUAUAUGAGGAUAUUUAGAAAUUAUUAGAUGCGACACCCAAACCACUACCGAAUUCAACGAGUUGGUUAAGGUUCUCAAAACCUUAGAAAAAUGAAGAAUUAAUCCUUUUUUUUUUUUAGUGGAUGGGAAUUUUUACAACAAAGUCUAGAAGGACAGAUUACAAAUAUUCUAUAGGUGAAAACGAGAAAUAAAACAAUCCCAAAAAAAGGUCUGUACAGACAGGAGCCCAAAAGUGACAUUUUUUAAGGUUAAUUUUAAUUUACUACCUCGAAGUUUCUUGAUUUUCAACAUUUGGUACAUCAAGUUUUUUUUAUCCCAAAGUACUACCUGAAGUCAUAAUUUUGGGACAGUUUCAUACAUAUGUUAGAUUGCUAUUAAAUCAGCCGUUAACUGGUGACAUGACGCCCACGUAGACAAUGACUAGGCGCCACGUGUCAAUAUAGAGCCUAUGUGGAUAAAACCCAUCAUUUUCUACCUCACCCUACUCCACGCGAUCCCAACCCUCCCUCCCUAAAACGUGCACGAUCUAAAACCCUCUUAGACCUGCGAAGAUGAACAAGAUUGUGGUGAGAUCGGUGGUUGGCAAUCGCUGCUAGGCUGUUGGACGACGUCGAGUUCCUGAAUUACCAGAGCAACAACGGUUUUAGUAAAUUUGUGGCUGGCUUUGAAGUUUCUAGGUUUUGUCUUCUCAAAACCAAAGUGUGAAGGUUUGAUCUUCAAUCGGAGCUUUGUUAGCAACAUGGAUGUUUUGUAUCAGAGAAAUUGGAGGUUUAGUUUGUUGAUUCAAGGAUAUGUGGUUACGGAUCUCGUCGGGGGGGGGGAGAGAGAUGAUGGAUUUUUUAAUUUUCAAAUAUCCACGUGGCGUCCAGUCAUUGUCAACGUGAGCGAUACAUCACCAGUUAACGGUUAAUUUACCAGCAAUCUUAUCGGAAAUAUUGAAAACCAAGAAACUUCAAGGUAGUAAACUAAGAUUAAUCAUUUUUUUUUAUAAUCAUCAUAUAUCACAGAUUAAUAUGUCUUGCUUAUAAAUAUAUUAUGUUUUUGUACCUUUUAGUUAGGUUUCAUCUCGCUUAUAAAGAUAUAACAUACAUUCAUUGCAUGCCUUUAAGGAAAGGGAUCUCCCUUUUUUUUAAUUGUGGGGCCCACAUCAUAUCGAACUUCAAUGAUCCGAACCUCCUAUUUUGCAGGUUGCACCUCUUAGGUCAUCCUUACAAAAUAUUAACCAAAUUAGAAAUAUUUGAGCCAUCUAAAUGAGUUUAAAAUUUUUGACGAACACUUUAUUCUAUAAAGAACAAUGAAAUUUCAUUAUGAUAAUUAAAUAGACAAAUGGUUUCGAAUUAAAUUGAAUUUUUGCAAGGGUGGUCUAUGAAUCGAGACUUAUGAUGAUUAAAUAUGCAAAUGGUUGUGAUAAUUAAAUAGAUGGUUCAAAUCGUUGAAGUUCGAUGUAGAGUGGGUCCCACAACUAAUCUCCAUUUUUUGAAAAAAAAAUAGGGAUUCCUUCUCUUAAAGGGCCUAUACAUUCAUAUAUUUGUUACUUGAGUUAGGGUCAUAUAUUCCGCAAAUAAAUUUUGUUAGUAUAUUACUUUUUUGCUAGAAUAUAUUAAGCAAAUUUAUUAGAAUUAGAAGAUUUUAAUUUAUCUUGAAUAUUUAUAAAAAAAAUGUAAAAUGAGUAUAAAAGAAAUAAAAGUGGAGAAAAGAUAAUUCUAGACUUAACCUAAUAACCAUGUUGAUUUUUUGGCCUCAGAUCUAAAUGCCCCUAAUCCUUUUCAACUUCUUAAUCUUUCUAUUUAUAUUGAAUGUUUAAAUCAGCUAUCACAUGGUUAGAAAGUUGUAAUUUGAGAUAACUAAAACUUGAAUUUGUAUUUUUUUUUUCAAUAAUUAUUAUUCAACUAGAUUGUUCUUGUUAAUGCACAAAAUCAGCGAGGACUUUAGUACAACAGAAAAUGUUAAGUUUGUGACCUUCGCUAGAUUGCUCCGAUCACUAGUGUGGAUAAGUAUGUAAAUGGAUAGGGACAGGUAAGCAAACACAAGAUGUACGUGGUUCACCCAGAUUGGCUACGUACACGGAGUAGAGGAGUUCUCAUUAAUUGUGAAGGGUUUACACAAGUACAUAUGUUCAAGCUCUCCUUUAGUGAGUACUAGUGAUGAUUUAGUACAAAUGACAUUAGGAAAUAUUGUGAGAGAAUGAUCUCUAUUUAUAGAAGAGAGUUUCUAGUUUCAUUCUGACAUUGACACGUGUCGCGUUGUGAUUGGCUUCUGAUGUUGACACGUGUCGCGCUAUGAUUGGCUUCUAAUGUCAACACGUGUCGCGCUGUGAUUGGCCUCUUGGUUGGAGGGAAACUCUUCUGGGUCCUUGACAGUAUAACGUUGACCGGUGCUCAGUAGUUUUGAGAUUGGUCAAGUAUGGUACAAACAGUGCUCCCCUAAGUUCCCGAGUGAGGGAUGCUCCUCGGUUGGGGACUUGCAAGAUCCAAGCAAUUAAGUAAUCACGAAACUUCUAAGUACCAAAGUGUGGUAUCAUUUUCACUUGCCUUAUGUGUCUCAUACGUAGAUGUGGCAUCUUCUCUGAAAGUACUUUUCAUCCAUCCAGGGGGUGGUAUCUUUAACUAAUGAAGAUGCACAAGGUAAUGUAUCAAUUUCACUUGAAGCUUACAUGUAGUUUCGGGCUUGGUCAAGUGCGAUACAAAACCCUAUAGUAGGAGUCCCCCAAGUCGUCGAGCUAGGAGAUUUGCCGAAAGAGGUAACAGACAAGGUAAGCAAUCAGACUUCCAAGCAAGCAACCUAGAUCGGAGGUUCGACUUCGGCUUCCGGUUGAUUGUUCUCCUUCUCCUUGUGUCGUAAAUAGCAACAAGGAUAAGGAGAAGCAAAUGGAGAAUAGAUAAUAUGAGAUACUUUUUCUUUUGAAGAAGUAACUUUCCACAUGCUUAUUCUUGAACUGGGCUGAAGGGUUUUCUGGUUUCCUCCAGAGUAUAAGGCCGACACAAGAAUUGAGGGUUAAACAAGUCCAUCAAAUCAAGAGUGCGUUCGACCUUGAUGAUAUGGGAUACUUUUUCUGUUGACAAAGUAAUAUAUGAAUCGGCUUGUGUUCUGUUGCGCUUGUCUCCACAUGCUUCCUUGUAUCAUUCUCACUUGCCUUAUCCGUUCCUUAGGCAGAUGUGGUGUCUUUUCUGACUGGAAGCUUGAUUCCAAGUGCUGACUGAUUGCUCUCUUUCUCUUUGUCUUGCAGGUAAGAACAAGGGCAAAGGAAAAGACAGGGAAAAAGCAUGAUAUGGGAUACUCUUGCUUUUGACCCUGAUGAUAUGAGAUACUCUUGCUCUGGUGUGACUGGUUUGCAUAGGUAUUAUUGGGGGGGAAGAAAGCUGAGUAUUUCGAGAAGUUUCGUUGGGAGUGCCAUCUCAGAUAUGAAGAAGGGUUGAGCAUUUUUGCAGGUCUGCCUGUCCGUAGAGGAUGAAGGUCGACAUAUAUAAGAGUCUCCCUAACAACAAGUAGUAAUGUUAUUCCUUUACCCUUCUUGGUCGUAGCAAUGUAGUGGGAGCUGCAAGCUUCACGUGUUUUAACUUUGUUAGAGCACUUUAAAAAAGUGGUAUGUGGUAUCUGGAAAGCUGAUGUUGCGUGUGAAGAUUGCAGACAAGCUUUAUCCAAGGAAAUCUGGCUCUCGAAGUUUGGAGAGCGAUGCCUCUUCAAUUUUUGAACAAGCAAUCAUGUCAGGGAUCUGGCUCUCGAGAUUCGAAGAGCGAUGCCUUUUCGAUUUUUAAGAAAGCAAUCCUGUUGGGAGUCUGGCUCUUGAGAUUCAGAGAGCCGUGCCUCUUCGAUUUUUGAGAAAGUAAUCCUGUUGGGAGUCUGGCUCUCGAGAUUCAGAAUGUGGUGCCUCUUCGAUUUUUGAGCAAGUAAUAAUGAUAUUCCUUUACCCUUCUUGGUCAUAGCAAUGUAGUUGGGAGCUGCAAGCUUCACAUGUUUUAACUUUGUCAGAGCGCUUUGAAAAAUUGGUCUGUGGUAUCUGGAAAGCUGAUGUUGCAUGUGAAGCUUGCAGACAAGUUUUAUCCAAGGAAAUUUGGCUCUCGAAGUUCAGAGAGCGAUGCCUCUUCGAUUUUCGAACAAGCAAUCCUGUCGGGGAUCUGGCUCUCGAGAUUCAGAGAAGGGUGCCUCUUCGAUAUUUUAGAAAGCAAUCCUAUUGGGAGUCUGACUUUUGAGAUUCGAAGAGCAGUGUCUCUUCAAUUUUUGAGAAAGUAAUCAUGUUGGGAGUCUGGCUCUCAAGAUUCGGAGAAUGGUUCCUCUUCGAUUUUUGAGCAAGCAAUCUUGUUGGGAGUGUUUUCUCGAAUGUGAGUAAAGGUUGGGCAUUUUUGCUAGUCUGUUUUGCCACGGAGCACGGAGGUUGACACACAUUGGGACUUUCUUGUUAUCAAGCAGUGGUGCUGUUCUUUUACCCUUAUGGGUAAUAGUAGGGUAGCUGCACCUUCAAAAUUUAUGUGUCUAAACUUUGUCAGAGAUCUUUGGUAAAGUUAUCUGUGGUACCUGAGGAGCUAAUGUUGCGUGUGGAAAGUGGUGUCUCUUCGAAAUCCGGAGAGUGGUGCCUCUUCGGAAUCCAGAGAGUGGUGCCUCUUCGAUUUUUGAACCAACGGCCCUAUUGCCCUUUCUUUUAUAAGGGCACCAAUUGUGUGCAAGGAGUACAUUCAAAGAGUUAUUGUUUGUAGGAAUUUUCCCUUUACUUCAGAGAUUUAUUGCACCUCAUUUCUCCUUCAUCAUUUCUGAGAAUGUCUGGCCUAUCUAACCGUCGUUUUGACUUGAACUUUGGUGAAGAGGCAGCCAUGCCUUCUCAAGACAACAUAUGGCGCCCAUCCUUCUUAUCCCCUACUGGUCCUCUUACCAUUGGGGAUUCUAUGAUGAAGAAUGAUAUGACCGCUGCGGUGGUGGCCAGGAACCUUCUCACUCCCAAAGAUAACAGACUACUUUCCAAACGGUCUGAUGAGAUGGCUGUUAAAGAUUCUCUGGCUCUUAGUGUUCAGUGUGUAGGUUCUGUGUCUAAUAUGGCCCAACGCCUAUUUGCUCGAACCCGCCAAAUUGAAUCAUUGGCGGCUGAAGUGAUAAGUCUCAAACAGGAGAUCAGAAGGCUCAAGCAUGAGAAUAAACAGUUGCACAGGUUCGCACAUGACUAUGCUACAAACAUGAAGAGGAAGCUCGACCAGCUGCAAGAAUCUGAUGGUCAGAUUUCACUUGAUCAUCAGAGGUUUGUGGGUUUGUUCCAAAGGCAUUUAUUGCCUUCGUAUUCUGGGGAUGGACCUCGUAAUGAAGCUCCAAAUGAUCAACCUUCGGUGCCUCCUCCUUCUAGGGUUCUGCCUAGUACUGAGACUCCGAAUAAUCACCCUCUGGUGCCUCCUCUUUCUGGGGCUCUGCCGACUGCUGAGACUUCUCCUGAGCAACCUUUGUGAAGGCUCCCUCUUGUUUGUUUAUUUUGAUUCAUGUAUAUGUACAUAUUUGUAACUUAUAGGACAUAUCAAUAAGCAAGCUUUGCUUCAUUUCAACGUAUUGUGUUAAAUACACUAAGGCAUUCUUCACUAAAUUCUUUGAAUUUUUCCUUUUGUUGAAGCUUGUAUGUUGAAGCUUUGUGAGUAAAGCAUGUAGGUUGAGGUAGUGCUCCCUUAAUUUCCCGAGUGAGGAAACUUCUCGUUUGGAGACUUGAAAAAUCCAAGUCAUUGAGUGGUCGUAAGACUUCCGAGUAUCAAGGUGCAGUAGAAUAUGGUAGGAGUCCCCCAAGUUUGACGAAUGAGGCAUUUCCUUUCUAAGUGGUAGCUCAAAACUCCUUCUUCAUAUAUAUUUGUUAUGAAAGUUGUUAGGCUCAAACAAGAAGAGGCCUAGGCAAAUAAUUUUUUUUUUUUUUCGAAAUUUUUUUUUCGAUUUUUUUUUUUCGAAUUUUUGAAUUUCCGAAGUUUUGAACUUUCGAAUUUCCGAAUUUUUUUUAAAUAUAUAUAUAUAUAUAUAUAUUAAAGUUUUGUAGGUGAAGCUUUGGUGUUGAAGCUUUAUAGGUGAAGCUUUGAGGUUGAAGCUUUGUUGGGCACUAUGAAUUGAUUUUGCUUCACACUAUCUUGAUCAAGAUAGUGUGAAGCUUUUGUGUUGAAGUUUUGUAGGUGAAGCUUUUGUGUUGAAGUUUUGUAGGUGAAGCUUUUGUGGGUCAAGCUUUUGUGGGUGAAGCUUUUGUGGUCAAGCUUUUGUAGUUGAAGCUUUUGUAGGUGAAGCUUUUGUGGGUCAAGCUUUUGUAGGUGAAGCUUUUGUAGGUGAAGCUUUUGUGGGUCAAGCUUUUAUGGGUCAAGCUUUUGUGGGUGAAGUUUUGUGGGUCAAGCUUUUGUGGGUGAAGCUUUUGUAGGUGAAGCUUUUGUGGGUGAAGCUUUUGUAGGUUAAGCUUUUGUGGGUCAAGCUUUUAUGGGUGAAGCUUGUGUAGGUCAAGCUUUUGUGGGUCAAGCUUUUGUAGGUCAGGCUUUUAUGGGUCAAGCUUUUGUGGGUGAAGCUCUUGUAGGUCAAGCUUUUAUGGGUCAAGCUUUUGUGUGUCAAGCUUUUAUGGGUCAAGCUUUUAUGGGUCAAGCUUUUGUGGAUCAAGCUUUUAUGGGUCAAGCUUUUGUAGGUAAAGCUCUUGUAGGUCAAACUUUUGUGGGUCAAGCUUUUGUGGGUCAAGCUUUGGAGUUGAAGCUUUAUAGGUGAAGCUUUGGAGUUGAAGCUUUUGUUGGGUACCACGAAUUGAUUUUGCUUAACACUAUCUUGAUCAAGAUAGUGUGAAGCUUUUGAGAAUUUGUAGUUGUCCUCCAUUGAUGAAGCUUUUAUUGGUGAAACUUUUGUGUUGAAGCUUUUGUGGCUGAACCUUUUGUGUUGAACCUUUUAUAGGUGAAGCUUUGGAGUUAAAGCUUUUUUUGGGUACCAUGAAUUGAUUUUGCUUCACACUAUCUUAAUCAAGAUAGUGUGAAGUUUUUGAGAAUUUGUAGUUGUCCUCCAUUGGUGAAGCUUUUGUGGUGAAGCUUUGUUGAAUUUCCUUAGAAAUUUGAAAAUGUGGGAGACACAACAUAUACAAAUUUUGCUUCCACACUGUUGAGCAAGAGAUUGUGAUGCAAGCCACACCUUGUAGUAGUCGAAGGUUUGGAUGAACCAUAUAAAUUGAAUUUGCUUCAUAUAGUCUUGAAUUUGCUUCGAAGGUUUGAGAAUUGUAGUUGCCCUCCAUUGAUGAGGCUUUUGUUAACACCAUAAAUUGGUUUUGCUUCACAUUGUCUUGAUCAAGAGUGUGUGAAGCUUUUGAGAAUUGUGGUUGAACUCAUUUGAUGAAGCUUUUGUUGGCACCAUAAAUUGGUUUUGCUUCACAUUGUCUUGAUCAAGAGUAUGUGAAGCUUUUGAGAAUUGUGGUUGCCCUCCAUUGAUAAAGCUCUUGUUGGCACCAUAAAUUGGUUUUGCUUCACACUGUCUUGAUCAAGAGUGUGUGAAGCUUUUGAGAAUUGUGGUUGCCCUCUAUUGAUGAAGCUCUUGUUGUUGGCACCAUAAAUUGGUUUUGCUUCACACUAUCUUGAUCAAGAGUGUGUGAAGCUUUUGAGAAUUGGGGUUGCCCUUCAUUGAUGAAGCUCUUGUUGGCACCAUAAAUUGGUUUUGCUUCACAUUGUCUUGAUCAAGAGUGUGUGAAGCUUUUGAGAAUUGUGGUUGCCCUCUAUUGAUGAAGCUCUUGUUGGCACCAUAAAUUGGUUUUGCUUCACACUAUCUUAAUCAAGAGUGUGUGAAGCUUUUGAGAAUUGUGGUUGCCUUACAUUGAUGAAGCUCUUGUUGGCACCAUAAAUUGGUUUUGCUUCACACUGUCUUGAUCAAGAGUGUGUGAAGCUUUUGAGAAUUGUGGUUGAACUCCUUUGAUGAAGCUCUUGUUGGCACCAUAAAUUGGUUUUGCUUCACACUGUCUUGAUCAAGAGUAUGUGAAGCUUUCUACGAGUUGUAGUGUUUGCAUUGUUACAAAGGGGAAAUCUUUGAAACAGAUGCAAGAUAGCUGAAUAGCUUGAUAUUUGUAUGCCAUGCACUGAAGUUGUUGUUGCCUUGCAAUAAGACUUUGUUUGUGACUAUAACUCUUGUUGGGCAUAAGUGAUCCCCUAGUUGAGUUGUUAAGCUUGAGGGUUUUUGAUUAUUUGUGAAUGCUAGGAGUUCACAUGUGCAAUUUGUACCACUAGCCUUCUGGUAGGUGGAAUGAAUGGUGAGUUGCUUUCAUCACUUGGUUGGUGGUACGAAGGUGAGUUCCUUCAUCACCUUUCAUCAUAUUUCAUCACCUGGUUAGUGGCAUGAGAAUGAGUUCCUUCUUCCCCUGGUUGGUGGCAUGAAUGUCAAGUUGCCAAAUGAUAUUAGAGUACGAGUUGUACAUUUCAUCACCUGGUUAGUGGCAUGACGAUGAGUUCCUUCUUUACCUGGUUGGUGGCAUGAGUGGCAAGUUGCCAAAUGAUAUUAGAGUACGGGUUUUACAUUUCAUCACCUGGUUGGUGGCAUGAAGGAGAGUACGGGUUGUACAUUUCAUCACCUAGUUUGUGGCAUGAAUGGCAAGUUGCCAAAUGAUAUUAGAGUACGGGUUGUACAUUUCAUCACCUGGUUGGUGGCAUGAAGAUGAGUUCCUUCUUCACCUGGUUGGUGGCAUGAGUGGCAAGUUGCCAAAUGAUAUUAGAGUACAGGUUGUACAUUUCAUCACCUGGUUGGUGGCAUGCAGGAAAGUACGGGUUAUACAUUUCAUCACCUGGUUGGUGGCAUGAAGAUGAGUUCCUUCUUCACCUGGUUGGUGGCAUGAGUGGCAAGUUGUCAAAUGAUAUUAGAGUACGGGUUGUACAUUUCAUCACCUGGUUGGUGAGAAUAAGGGCAAGGUGUCUAGGCACAUUGUAUCAAGUAUCGAAUGACACAAAGUAUGUUGAACCUUUUCAAAGCACAAUUGGCUUAUGUACGAAUGUGUUGGAAUGUAUGAUUGAAUCGAAUAUACUGUGAAGCUGUUCGUUUAUUUGUAUAGUCUUGUUGACAUAUACUUAGAAUUUGUUUCAUGUUGGAAGCAUUCAUGUUGAAGCUUUGAACCCAAGUGUUUCAUUGCUAGGAAUGUAAGAGGAUUAGGACCGAGUUGUCUAAAUCACCUUUUUAUUGAAUUCAUGCCAAAUAGUCUUCGUUACAUAGGAUGCUAAACGGCUGAAGCUUAACACUUGUACAAUGUGAGUUUACUUGUAAUACUACUCCAAGUGAUCAACAUUCCAUGGAUGGCCAAGGGUCUUGCCAUCGGAGCUUCUAAGCUUGUAGGAGCCAGGGCGACUAAUGCCAACAACUUCAAACGGUCCAUCCCAGUUUGGACUAAGUGUUCCUUCACUCGGGACUCUAUCGCAGAGUAAUCUUUUCUUCAAUACCCAGUCCCCCACUUUGAAAAAACGAGGUUUGACCCUGGAGUCAUAGUAGUUGGAGAUGCGCUGCUUGUAGGCGACAUUCCUCAAGUGAACCUGGUUUCUGUGUUCCUCGACUAGAUAUAAGUUGAGGGUAAGUUGUUUGUCAUUUUCUCUUUGCACGUAGUUCUGAACUCGGAACGUUGCUUGCUCAAGCUCAACUGGGACAACUGCCUCUGUACCAAAGGCAAGUGAGAAUGGGAUUUCUCCUAUUGAUGUUCGAUACGAAGUGUGGUAUGACCAAAGAACUUGGGGUACAAAUUCUGGCCAACAACCUUUAGCCUUGUCCAAGCUAGUUUUCAAAGUUCGCUUGAUUAUUUUGUUGAUGGCUUCAACUUGUCCAUUAGACUGGGGAUGAGCUAGGGAGGCAAAACAUAAGUUAAUGUUGAGCUUAGAGCAGAACGUCCUGAACUUAUUGUUGUCAAACUGUCGCCCGUUGUCAGUGACUAUCGCAUUGGGAAUGCCGAAUCUGCAAAGGAUGUUCUUCCAUACGAAGUCUUCUAUUUUUACCUCAGUAAUGGUUGCCAAGGGUUCUACUUCGGCCCACUUUAUGAAGUAGUCAACUGCAACAAUUGCAUAGCGAACCUUACCUUUCCCUGCAGGCAUUGGGCUGAUCAAAUCAAGUCCCUAUUGGGCCAAGGGAAAAGGGCUGAUCAUAGGAGUGAGCGGCUCGGGAGAAGAGUGAGGAAUAGUUGCGUAGCGUUGACACUUAUCACAUGAGCGGGAUAUUCUGAUGGCAUCUUGGUGGAGUGUUGGCCAGUAAUAUCCUUGGCGAAAAGUCUUGUGUGCUAGGGAUCCAGAUCCAGCAUGAUCUCCGCAGACUCCUUCGUGUAUUUCCCGAAUGACAGUUUCCACCUCUGUGGGCGUAAGGCAUCUUAGGUAUGGUAGGUUAAAACCCCGCUUGUAGAGUUGGUCAUUAAUGAUCAAGUAACAAGUAGCCUUGUAUCGAAUCUGCUUAGCUUGGACUUAGUCAUUUGGAAAGGUACCAUGAGCAAGGAAUCUAUAAAUCGGGGUAAUCCAACUAUCUCCUUGUUGUAAGUUGCACACUUCCGUAGCCAUGGUGCUUGGUGCUGCCAACAAUUUGACCUGAAUUUUUCUCCCAAUCUUGUCUUCCACCGCUAAGGCGAGGCGAGCCAAAGCAUCUGCAUGACUGUUUGCCGCUCGAGGAAUUUGGGUGAUCUGGUAGUGGAAGUACUUGAGCAAAAAUUAUGUUUGUGCCAGAUAUGCUGCCAUAGAGCUAUCCUUAGCGUCAAAGUUGUUGGUGACCUGGUUAACCACCAAUUGGGAGUCACUGAAGAUAUCAAUUCGUUUAACUCCCAAGGUGUUUGGCCAAACGUAAGCCUGCUAUGAGGGCUUCGUAUUCGGCCUCAUUGUUCGAUGUCUUGAAUUUGAAACGAAGAGCAUACUCCAUCGCCACUUUGUUAAGGGUCAUAAAGACUAGUCCUGCUCCAUAACCAUGUUGGUUGGACGAGCCAUCAACAUAUAGACUCCAUGCUGGGGCUGUUGGUUCUAUUUUCUGAGCUUCCGAGGGUAAUGAAACCACUUCUUUAGGCGUAGAAACAAUGUCAACAGGAUAUGUGAAGUCGGCGAUGAAGUCUGCCACUGCUUGGCCCUUCUCAGCUGGCUUUGGUUGGUAAGAGAUGUCAAACUCACCCAAUGCUAUUGCCCAUUUGAUCAUUCGCCCGGAAGUGUUAGGACUUUGGAGUAUCUGUCGAAGAAGAUGAUUGGUAAGCACGAUGAUGGAGUGUGCUUGGAAGUAAGGGCGAAGUUUUCGAGCAGACAUGACCAAUGCUAAAGCCAAUUUCUUGAUGUUAGAGUAUUGUGUCUCUGCAUUUUAUAAGGCCUUGCUAGCGUAGUACACAAGCCGUUUGACAUUACCAUCAUUUCGAAUGAGAACGGAACUUAAUACUGAAGCUGAUGCCGACAGAUAGAUAAUGAGAAUGUCACCAACCUCAGGUUUGGAGAGCAGAUAGGCUUUACUCAUGUAGUCUUUGAGGUUCUUGAAUGCCUCAGCACAUUCAACAGUCCAUGUAAUGUACUUCUUACUUCCCUUAAGUGCUUUGAAGAAAUGAGCACAUCUGUCUGUGGCCGUAGAGAUGAACCUAGUUAAGGCUACCACCUUGCCAGUAAGGCUCUGGAUGUCUUUUGAAGUUACCGGUUCCUUCAUGUCGAGGAUUGUUUUGAUCUUCUCGAGAUUAGCCUCAAUGCCUCGUUGGCUUAUCAUGAAACUUAUGAAUUUGCCAAACCCUACGCCGAAGGCACAUUUGUUGGGUUCAACCUCUUCAUAAUGGUGAAAGUUUCAGAUAGGUUGGUGAUGUGUUGGUCAGCAUGUUUGCUCUUGACUAGCAUAUCAUCAACGUAAACUUCCAUGCUCUUCCCAAUCUGUUCGACGAACAUUGAAUUGACUAGUCUCUGAUAAGUCGUUUCUGCAUUCUUUAGGCCGAAAUGCAUGACUUUAUAGCAAUAUAGUCAUCUGUCAGUAGUGAAGGCUGUGUGUUCUUGGUUCGGAGGGUUCAUAAGGAUUUGGUUGUAUCCUGAGUAAGAAUCUAUGAAGCUUAGAAGUUCACACCCUACCGUAGAGUCUAUAAGUCUGUCUAUGAGAGGAAGAGGAAAACUAUCCUUCAGGCAUCCUUUGUUUAGGUCGGUGUAAUCGACACACAUUCUCCACAAGACCUUUUGGAGCAGGAGACUUUCUUUGGUCGGAUUCUUCUUAACAAGGACAACAUUUGCUACCCACGUUGGAUAAUUGACUUCGCGGACGAAGCCUAUGCCUUUGAGUUUUUCAACUUCUGCCUUCAUUGCCUCGUACCGUUCGGUGUCAUAAGAUCUUCGCUUUUGUCUCACUGGCUUGGUCUUGGGGUCAAUACUUAAGCGAUGACAGAUGAUAUCGAGAAAGAUGCCUGGCAUGUCCUCGUAUGACCAAGCGAAGACCUCAGUGUUCUCUUAGAAAAAAGAGAUCAAUGUCAACCGAAUGGGUGGUGACAAGGUGGUGCCAAUCUUCACCAUGCGAUCCGGAUAAUCUUUUGAGAUAGAGACAUUCUCCAACUCCGUCAGCGGGUUGUGUUUGCUGGGUGAAAAAGUCAUCUCGAGGAUCGUCGAGUUGACUGCUGCCACCGUGAAGAUCCAAGUUGGCUUCGUCUAGGCUGGUCUUUAUGACUUGGUUAUGUAUAGAAAGGGUUUCCUUGGGCACAGGCAUGUGCUGUUGUUUGACUGAAGUGUUGUAACAUGAUCGUGCACUAAGUUGGUAUCCUCUAAUGUAACCAUUGCCAUAGGGGGUUGGAAAUUUCAUCAACAACAUAUGUGUGGAUACCAUGAACUUGAGAUCAUUGAUGCCUGUGCGUCCGAAGAUGACAUUGUAUGUCGUUGGGCAAUCAACCACCAGGAAGUUAGUGGUAAUGGUAGCUGUGUAAGGGCCUGUACCAAUGGUGAAAGGUAAGUGUAUACUCCCCAAAGGUUGCACGAUAUCACUGGAGAAGCUUAUCAGAGGGGAAAUCGAGCGGUCAAGCAAGUGUUCAGCUACAUUAAGUGCCCUGAAAGCUUCAGCAAACAUGAUAUUGACCGAAGCCCCCGUGUCUACCAGGAUUCGUCGUACUUCAAAGUUGGCUAUGUGAGCUUUCACGAUCAAUGGGUCAUUGUGAGGGUAGAUGAUACCUUUUUCUUCCUCAGGGUAGAAACAUAUUGGAUCCCAGUUAAGCUUUUGAUGCUUACCUCCCCUGAUGUCUUCCACGUGAAAUGGUGGCUAGACCUUAAAGCUCGUUCACUAUUUUUCAUGGCCCUGUUGGAAAAUUUAGAUAUGAGUGUGCCACCACUUAUGGAAUAUAUCACAUUUACCUAGCGUUGGUUACGGUUACCCCUUGAAGGGUGAAGGAGGAAUUGAUCAAUUUUUCCUUCACGUACCAAAGCUUCAAUAUGAUCACGAAGGGUGAUACACUUCUCACCGUCAUGGCCAUUAUGCUCGUGGUAGCAGCAAAACGUGCUUGUGUUCUUCGUGGGCUUGUAAUCCGGGUGCCUUAGCUUUGGCUUCGGUAUCAAGUGUGCUAUGCUGGGGUAAAUGGCCACGCAUGUGGCAUUCAAAGGUGUGUAUGACCCACUGUGUUGGCUGCCUGGGGUCGGGGAUUAUCAUAGCAAUACCCUUGGUUAUCGAGGUAGUGUCCCUUACUCAUUUUACUAAAAUGAGACUGGUGAGGAUGGAAAUCUUUCCUUUUACCCUGAGAUUGAUAUGUCUGUUGACUUUGCAAAGUAUUAAGUAAGGCAGAGGGAGGCACCGCUGCCGUUUGGAAGGUCGAGGUCUUUUCAUUUGGUUAGAUCUGGCUUCCACUCCCUACUUCCUGAUAAGGGGUGGUUGUGGGGGGUUUCCCUUGAUAUGUCAUUGCCUCGGCGGAGGCAUGGUUGUAAGCUUGUGCCAUCACCUUAGAGUAAGUCUUUCAAGUGUUGGCAUUGAUCAUGUACUUGAAGAAACAAUCACGUAGGCCUGCCGUGAAGGCCUUGAGGGCGGUCUUGUCAUCUGCCUCAGCGCAGCGAGAAUACUCAUGGCUGAAACGACCAGCAUACUCUCGUAGUGACUCGUCUGGCUUCUGGCGAAUAGUGUACAAGUCAUCUGCAGAAUGCAAGCAAUCGGUCUGGAAGAUGUGUUGAGAGACAAACAGUUUCCUCAGUUCCUUAAAUGAGUCUACUGUCUCAGGUGGAAGACGGCAAUACCAGUUUAGAGCUCCGCCAGAGAGGGUGGAGGGGAAGAGAAGACAUCGUUCUUCAUCAAUGUGCAUCCGAUAUGCCAUGGUGGACUCAAAAUUGAAGGAGAUCAAUUAGGUCAUCUCUUCCAGUAUAGAGUUGUAAACCAAGAUUUUGGUUUGUCUUCGCUUGAAGGGGGUGUCGAAGAUCCUCCUUGUGAGAGGGCCAGGCCUGGGUUGGUUCCAGUCAGGUAUCUCGGCCUGACGUUCGACCUUCAACUUGUUUACUUCCUCAAUGAGCCGUAGGACAAGGGGGUCCUGAGUAGAGUCAUAUACCACUGGGAUUUUCUUUCGUAAAUCUCCAUCGCCUCUUGGAAAUAGGAAAGUUUGAGCAAGGGCAUGUGCUGUACUAACUUCUAGGGCAAGUCUGUCGGAAUACCUCAGAAUCCUCCGUACCUUCAUGUUCCUCUGGGACCUGUCGUUCCUUCCCUAGAUUGGCAGCUGGCCUGGGUCGUGGGAGGGGACCGAGUCUUUCAGAAACCCUUGGGUCAUUGAUCUUCGAGCAUAUGUGGAGGGGAUUCUCUCAACGUUGCUUUAGGAAAUCUCAGCAGUCACGAUAAACGGCUUUUAAUCCUUCCAACCCUUCUGUAAGGAGGUGUCUUCCUCCACUUUUCCUGCUUCGGGUUAAAGCAGCUGGGUUGAGAGAAGUCUCAUGUUGAUCAAUGUUUUGAUGACUAGCUCGCUCCUCAUCAGGGAUACCCAUGUUAAAGGAAUAUGACCCUCUGUGUUGGGGGUACCCAGAUGAUGGUUGAUGUCCACAGGGGCAACAAGCUUUCGUGUUUGAGUACGCAUAGUUUCAUGGAGCGUCUCAAAGAGCUUCUCAUACUGCUCCUGGAGGACCUCAUUCUUCAUUGCUAUCUUGUUGUUUUAAGCUUCUAGCUCAUCGACUUUAGCUUAAAGAGCAACCCUAUUUCCUUCCUUCUUUCGUUACUUCGCACUAGGUGCAAGAAGGGUAUCAUUCUGUGUGCUAUGGCUUCCUUCGCUCCCCAUGUUGAAUAGGGAUGCCUGAUCAAAAGAGAGUGUACGAACGGUGGAAACCAGCUUGACAAAGCUGAAGAGAGUGGGCAUAAGUGUCGUUCCCAUAGACGGCGCCAAAUGUUGAUGCACAAAAUCAGCGAGGACUUUGGUACAACAUAAAAUGUUAAGUUUGUGACCUUCGCUAGAUUGCUCCAGUCACUAGUGUGGAUAAGUAUGUAAAUGGAUAGGGACAGGGAAGCAAACACAAGAUGUAUGUGGUUCACCCAGAUUGGUUACGUCCACGGAGUAGAGGAGUUCUCAUUAAUUGUGAAGGGUUUACACAAGUACAUAGGUUCAAGCUCUCCUUUAGUGAGUACUAGUGAAUGAUUUAGUACAAAUGACAUUAGGAAAUAUUGUGAGAGAAUGAUCUCUAUUUAUAGAAGAGAGUUUCUAUUUUCAUUCUGACAUUGACACGUGUCGUGUUGUGAUUGACUUCUGAUGUUGACACGUGUCGCGCUAUGAUUGGCUUUUGAUGUCGACACGUGUUGCGCUAUGAUUGGCCUCCUGGUUAGAGGGAAACUCUUUUGGGUCCUUGACGGUAUAACGUUGACCGGUGCUCAGUAGUUUCAGGAUUGGUCAAGUAUGGCACAAACAGUUCUAAUAACCGAUUCAUUAGUGUGAUGUUGAUUUUAGAAAGAACACAUGGGAACUAAUUGACAUUGUUGAAUUUAUUAUAUUCAUUAAUCAAGUUUUAUUGUUCUUUACUCUUUGAUCAUCAAGUUUUAUUGCUCUUCACUCUCAAUCUUAAACUCUUGACUGCAAACACUUAGUACAUUUGCAUCUAAAAAUGUGAGACGUGUAAUAUUUAAGUAAUGUUUGUAUAUCUUUCUUCUUUUAAUAUUAAUUUUUCAUGAUAUUUGAUGCUGAAAUAGACUUUUUAUGUAUUUAGCGAAUUCUUUUUUUAUACAUAUCAAUGUAAAAAGAAUUGGAGAUCAGAAAACUUUAAGGUCCCACUUCGAAGCUUGCCUAGGCCUCCCAAAUUCUUAGGGCCGGCCAAGUAUCACGACGACUACAAUUCCUCUAUUUUUAUUUUUUUAUACGAAAUGUGAAGGGGAAGGAAUUUUUGUUUUAGUUCCUCUAUUUUAUACGCACGUCUUUUUUACCUGUCACCUCUGAAUACAGUUCAAUAUUCAUGCACUCAAACUUGCCAAUAUUCACCGCACCAAAUAUUUUUAAUUAUCUAGCUAGAAUAUGUAGCCCACCGUGAUGGAAUGCUAUUUUCUAUCCAUAAAAAACAAACAUAUACAAAUCUAUAAGUGGGACUCUUUAGAAUUCUACCAAACGUUUGUUAAAUUCCCAUAGACUCGAUCAAACUUCCAUAUAACACCAAAAGUACAACUUGUUUUAUUAGUUGACUAUUUUAAAUUUGAAGACAAAUUCCACCAAAUUAAGAGUAGGUAGAGUUUUUUUUUUUUGGUCAAUAUAGUAGGUAGAGUUAUGAUGCAUGGUUCAUAAAAUUCUUCAAUGUUUUCUUUGUAUGCAUCCAUGUAGGGUAGUGCCACGAAUACCAUAUACUUAAAUUAUAUUCUGUAAAAUGUAUGAUAUGGUUAUUAAUGAAUAAAUUAUUACUUAAGUGUUGAUUAACGUACUUAAUUUUUUUUUAUGACACACAUGAUUUACAAAUGUGGUCUAAAAUUUUGACCUACCGAGCAUUACUCAUCUAUUUAUCAACAACUAGACAACAUAUAUUUUCAAUCAAAAGUUUUGACACUAAAUUUCCAACAUAAAAAAUAAUCAUUUUUUUUCUGACAGUACUACAAUAUUUCAUUCUGGGGUUGGUUAACUCUUAAUUACCUUCGCGUUAAUGCUUUGUUUACUUCAUAUCAAUAAAAUUUUGGUCUGAGUCACAACACAAAAUAUAAACAGGUCCCAACACAAAACUUAUGUGUAUAUAACUACUGAAAUUAAUUAGCUACUAAAAAUCCCUUCGAACAACACACAAAAAUAUCAUGUAGAAAUAGACUUUUUAUGUAUUUAGCGAAUUCUUUUUUAUACAUAUCAAUGUAAAAAGAAUUGGAGGUCAGAAAACUUUAGGGUCUCACUUCGAAAGCUUGUCUAGGGGCCGGCCAAGUAUCACAACGACUACAACGUUUUACGACUACAAUUCAACAUCAAAUAAAAUGGACGGAAUGUGAAAGGGAAGAGACCAAAAAACAGACUAUGAGAGGCAAGAGACCAAGACUGAUUUCAAGAAGAUUGCUGCCGACUUCAAAGCCGAUGGCAGAAGCCGGCGCAAGAGAGUUUUCUAUUCUCAAUUUCCAACUAGUCUAUUUCAAGACUUCUUACAUGGAAACAAAUUUUAUUUUUAUCAAGUGAGUUUACUUUGUGCCACUGAGAUUUGAAUUUUUGUUUUAGUUCCUCUAUUUUAUACGCACGUCUUUUUUACAUGUCACCAUAACCCUGUUUGAAUACAGUUCAAUAUUCAUGCACUCAAACUUGCCCAUAUUCACCGCACCAAAUAUUUUUAAUUAUCUAGCUAGAAUAUGUAGCCCACCGUGAUGCAAUGCGAUUUUCUUUCAAAAAAAAAAAACAAACAUAUAUAAAUCUAUGAGUGGGACUCCUUAGAAUUCUACCAAACGUUUGUUAAAUUCCCAUGGACUCGAUCAAACUUCCACCUAAGUCUACAAGUGCAAUUCUUAUAGAAGUCUGCAAAACUCUAUCAGACCACUUGGAUACCCGAAUCGCGAUGUGUAGAUCGACAUCUGAAAGGUGACGAAGCCAUAAAGUGUAGUGAGGUGGAAAAUGCGAAGAAAUUAAAACCUAAAAGUGAAUAAUUUAGAGUGCGCAUAUGAGCGAGAUUAAACCCAUAUCACACAAGUGAUGUCAGAACAUAGAUAAAUUGUAGUAAAAGAAGAGUAAGAACAUUUAUACCGAAAGGAGAAGUCUCCUACAUAACAUCGUUUACCAACAAUCCUUAUUGUCAUGAAACCUCUACCACUAAAAUCCAGGGAAGGGUGAAAAACAGGGAUGAGUGGCCCUGAAAAUAAAGUUUGAAAAACCUUUUCGAAAAGUCUAACCCCUUGUUGUAAAACAAGUAUAUAGUUUCUCAAAAAUAUUAUAAUAAUAGUAUGUAGUAGGUACCCUGCUGUAGAAGUGAGUCUAAGAUGUAGGGUACAAUAAGAAGGAAUCUCAACAUUAAAUCUCAAAAAAGUAUUAUAAGAAAUCAAUGCUCAUUAAUUAAUUUAUGUAGGCACACAAGUCCACUGCAGAGGUAUUCAAACAAUGGAACAGGCUGAGUGUAGGUUUUACAUUCUAGUACUUUAUCACAUGAGUUACACUAGUCGCAUCACAUACGAGUCCAAAACAUCACACAAAAUGACAGGAUGGCACCUAACUCUGGAUCCAAAACGAAUGUAAAUGGUGCAUGUGAACUACAUGUGAAGCUAGUCCUUGGCCCAAGACAGUACAAAUAACUAAGAGACACUGUGCAAACAUAUAAUGAGUAGGUAAAAUGUAAGGAUGUCAUGCCACAAGUUUAUGCUCACAAAUAAUAUUAAAAACAUAAAGUGUAUGGAAAGUAUAUUUGUAAACCUAAACAUGGCAUUUGUAAAGCUAAACAUGGCAUGUCACAUCAUAGUAUAAAAAAGCAGUUGUUGGGAAAAAUCACAUAUAAAUAUUAGGCCUGGCAAACGGGUCAUGUCUAUCGUGUUCGUGUCGUUUUUUUAUAACACCUGUUAUCUUAACGGGUCAUGUCGUGUCACACCCGUUAUCUUAACGGGUCCUUAACAGGUCAGGUCACUUUACUCGUUGACCCGUUAAGAAAAAUAUUAUUUUUUCUUAAAUUCGCACAUACCACACAUUGCCACAUAAAUAUUACUUCAAAACAUUAAAACACAUUUGUCGUUUAAGUAAUACAUCUACACUCGAAAAUAAAAGCCUAAUAAACAAACAUUCAUACACUACUAGUCUAUUACAAAAUAUUAAAUAUGCAAGGAUAUGCAAAAUGAAAGAGUUUUUGUUUUCAAGGUUGUGAAACCUUUCUCAAAAGUUUAAACCUUGCCAAUGGAACUCAAAUGUUGCAUGUUAUUCCUUUUACAAAAUCCUCAAUUUUCAUUGCUCAUCAUGACAUAAGAUUUUGUGGUAUCCACUAGUGUAAAUAUUUUAAAUUGAACAUGAAAUUCAUUCAUUGUAUCCAUAUAAGGUCAAUGAGUGUAGCUGUAAAAAAUCAUCAAAAUCGGAGUUAAAAUAACCGCUAAAUCAUGAUUUUUCGUUGAUAACUGUUGAAAAGUUGUCCCGUUACUUGAUCUUUGAAUGUUUGUUUUUUGCAAUUUUUGGCGUAUGCGAUCUCAAAGUAUAUACAAACAUGUUGGAUGGUUCGAACGUUGAAACUAGUGUUUCAUAGAAUGCGUAUCUCAUCAAAACAAUAGAUUCACUAACACUUAAGAGUUUAUUCAUACUUUCAUUAAGUAUAACAUAAGAUUUUAUGGUAUCCACUAGUGUAUAUAUUUUAAAUUGAAGAUCGAGUUCAUUCAUUGUAUUUGUAUAGGGUCAAGGAGUGUAGAUGUAAAAAAUCAUCAAAAUCGAAGUUAAAAUAACCGUUAAAUCGUGAUUUUUCGUUGACAACCGUCGAAAAAUUUUGUCCCAUUACUUGAUCUCUGAAUGUUUGUUUUUUGUGAUUUUUGGCAUAUGCGAUAUUAAGCAUAUACAAACAAGUUUGACGGUUGGGUCGUUGAAAUUAGUUUCGUAGAAUGUGUAUACCAUCAAAACAAUAGAUUCAUUAACACUUAGAGUUUAUUUAUACUUUCAUUAAGUUUAACAUAAAAUUUUGUGGUAUCCACUAGUGUAAAUAUUUUAAAUGGGACAUCAAAUUCAUUCAUUGUAUUCAUUCAUAUAGGGUCAACGAGUGUAACUGUAAAAAAAUCAUCAAAUUCGGAGUUAAAAUAACCGUUAAAUCGUGAUUUUUUGUUGAUAACCGUCGAAAAGUUUUGUUCCGUUACUUGAUCUCUGAAUGUUUGUUUUUUGCAAUUUUUGGCGUAUGCGAUCUCAAAGUAUAUACAAACAUGUUUGACGGUUGGAUCGUUGAAACUAGUUUCAUAGAAUUCGUAUCCCAUCAAAACAAUAGAUUCACUAACACUUAAGAGUUUAUUCAUACUUUCAUUAAGUAUAAUAUAAGAUUUUGUGGUACCAUUUCAUUAAGUAUAAUAUAAGAUUUUGUGGUAUCCACUAGUGUAAAUAUUUUAAAUUAAAGAUCGAGUUUAUUCAUUGUAUUCGUAUAGGGUCAAAGAGUGUAGCUGUAAAAAAUCAUCAAAAUCGGAGUUAAAAUAACUGUUAAAUCGUGAUUUUUUGUUGAUAACUGUCGAAAAGUUUUGUCCCAUUACUUGAUUUUCGAAUGUUUGUUUUUUUCGAUUUUUGGCGUAUGCGAUCUUGAAGCAUAUACAAACAUGUUUGAUGGUUGGAUCAUUGAAACUAGUUUGGUAAAAUGUGUAUCCCAUCAAAACAAUAGAUUCACUAUAUUCAUACUUUCAUUAAGUAUAAUAUAAGAUUUUGUAGUAUCCACUAGUGUAAAUAUUUUAAAUUGAUGAUCGAAUUCAUUCAUUAUAUUUAUAUAGGGUCAAGGAGUGUAACUAUAAAAAAUCAUCAAAAUCGGAGUUAAAAUAACCGUUAAAUUGUGAUUUUUCGUUGAUAACCAUUGAAAAGUCUUGUCCCAUUACUUGAUCUCUGAAUGUUUUUUUUUUUUGCGAUUUUUGCUGAUGCGAUCUCGAAGUAUAUACAAACAAGUUUGACGGUUGGAUUGUUGAAAUUAGUUUUAUAGAAUUCACAUCCCAUCAAGUUCAAUGGUAUAUAUAUAUUUAUUAAGUAGAUUUAAAUUUAUUUAUUUUGUACAUAUAACAGUUAAGAAAUUGAAUGGUAUGUAUAUUUAAGCCGAUCCAAUGGUCACCAAUUUUUAAUAUUUAAUUUAAUAUAUAUAUAAUAAUUAUAGUUUUAGGGGUAUAAAAUUGUUAAAUUAAUAUAUAUAAUUAUUGUACUAUUUUUUUAGGGUUGUAAAAUUAUUAAAUUAAUAUUUUGCUUAUCGUGUAUCUUGUUACCCACGUGUAUACCCGAACCAACCCGUUAUCUUAGCAGGUGCUUAUCGGGUCCCAAUAAUGGCCCGAUUCGUUAUCGUGUCGAUCCGAACACCUGUUAAUUUCGUGUCGUGUCGUGUCAGGAAUUGCCAGGCCUAAUACAUAUAUAUACGUAAAAACGAAAAGAUCCACUCACAGUUACUUGUGAUGUCACAUCCUUUUGAGCUAAGAAAGUCGGAGUCCCUGAUAGUAAUCGCACCUAAGCAUAAUAUUGGGACCCAUUAGUAAAACUCAACUUAAACAAUCAAACUUGAGAAAGCGGAGUGUGGAUUUGGAAUCAGAGCGUCGAAAUAUGCUAAGAAGGGUCCCGAGCGAAUUUUUGUAAGAAGUCAACAAAAAAGUCAACGGUUGACCCUAAAAGUCAACCGAGAUACUCCCGUUGUCAACUAUGUUUAAACUUUAUAAUUUUCCAAAAUGGACCCGAGAUGUCGAAAUUAGCCUAGGAGGAAUAUUCCAUGAUCCAUUUUGGAAUGAGGCCAGGUCGCAUCCUCUACGCUUUGAGGAUGGGUAUAUGAUCGUUUGAAUUCUUAAAACCAUACAAACUCUCAUGAAUAGUAUUUUUAAGAGAGUUCAAAAUAAACAAAAUUCAUAAUCAUUAAUGUAUAAGUCUGAAAGAUGUGAAAGCAUAAUAAACGUUCAUAAUUGCAUCUUCAAAGCUUAGACGAUGGUUACAUGGUCGUUUAGAUUCUUAAAACCCUCCAAAUCUCAUGAACAAUGUUUUUUAUUUGAGUGCAAAAUUAAUAAUAAUUAUUGUAGAAGUGUGAAAAAUGUAAUCACUCGUAAUGAAAAGCUUCACAACCUUCAUGAAGGGGUCAACUCCGAAAUUUAGUAUGUAUAUACUAAUUUAGUAUUAUGUUUUACAUUUUUUGGGUCAAAUUAUAUUUUUCAUUUUCAUUUUUAUUGAUUUAAAAUAUAUUUUUCUUAAAGGGUAACAGGUCGGGUCAUAUUACCUGAUAAUAUUAACGGAUUGAUUUCGGAUCGGGUCAUAUUACCCGUUUACUUUAAUAGGUAUUACACAACACGACCCAUUAAGCUAUCGGGUAUGACACGAAAACGACAUGAACACGAGAAACACGACACAAAUGCCAGGUCUACUCAAGUACUCCAUUUUUUGGUAUUCGUUCUCCAAAAAAAAAAAAAAAAUACACAUACACGCACACACAUAUUUGUAUUGAUGAGUAUUUGGAAGCUUGGAUUAUGUUUUCAUUUGUCACGUUUUAAGGGUGUGACUAAAUUAUUUUAGAAUAGACCAUCCAUGCAUUUUUCUUUUGUGGAUAAUAGCUGUUCAUCCAUAUUUAGCAUUCGUAAUUAGCAAUGUGCAAAAUGAGCUUAAUUGAGAGUUAGAUUUAAGCUUAUGACUCUAACUUUUGUGCUUUACAUGUGGUUAGGUUUUCCUAAUUGAAACCCUAAAAUCAAGAUGAAAGGUUGAACAAACAGCUAUCCAUUUUGGUUAAUUCCUCAUGGUGGUGACCAUAUCAAUUUGGUGGGUGUCCAAGAUCCUUUGUCACAUGAACACCAAAGACCCUUCCUAAAUUCAAUUAAAGCACACAAUACAUGGCCGCCUAACAACCUAAUGGCUGCGAUCGACUCCUUUUACGUGCACGUCCAUGAUUUUCCCAAAAUGUAAGGGACGUUUGGUUCUCAAACGAAAAAAUGUGAUUAGAUCAUAACCCAACUCACCAUGUGGGUUGGGUUAUGAAGAGGAGUCAAGAAGAAUUCAUGGCCUUAGCAACUGGUGUUGGAUUUAGUGGCAUCAUAUAUGAAUGUUUCACAACUAAUCUUCAGUAGUUAUAUACACACGUAAGUUUUGUCUUGCGAUUCAGACCAAAACUAUAUAACAUAAGUUUUGUCUUGCUACUCAAACCAAAACUCUAUUGACAUGAAGUAAACAAAUCACUUAAAUAUAAAAUGCCUUUUUAUCAAGGUUCUGAAAAACGCUAGGCGCUAGUCGGGCAGGCGGCUAGGCGGCCUAGGCGGAUUUAAGUAUAUGUGUAAAAUUUAAGACUUUUUAUGUUGAUUUUGUAACAUUUAGUCACCCUAUUUAUUUUAAUCAUUUUUGGACCUUUGUUUUUCAUUAAAAAUGAAUUGGGCCUUGUUUUCUUAUUAAUAAAAAAAACAGUUUAUUCCCUAGUUUUUUAAGACACUCAUUGCUGGACAUUCAGCCCACUUUGGGCUCCCAAACUCGUGGCCCCUUCACCUUCCUCUCCCUUUAAAAAGGAAAAAAAAAACCCUAGCUCUAAUUAUCCAAGCUCAGCUGUCGUCCCGCUCCAUCACCUUUCUCUGCCAUUGCAGAAACCUCUCUCUCUCUCUCUCCCCAGCCAAGCCAUCCCUCUUCUUUACCUUGCAAUUGUAGAUCUAUCUCAUCCCACAUCUUUACUCUUUAAUUGCAUAUCCAUCCCAACAACAGCCAAAUUGUCUCACUUCGUUUCUCUGCAAUUGCAAAUCGAAACUGUCGGGAUGGUCACCCAGUCGUCCAACCACAGUACCACAGCAAAAGAACAACGUUGUAAUCGACUUACCAUCGAAGCCGCCUAGGCGGUCGCCGAGGCCGCCUAGCCCGCCCAGCGCCCGUCUAGGCGCCGCCUAAUACCCUUUCUGAUUUCUUCAACGAUUUUGGUUAAAUCGCGGCGACGAACCACCGGCCAGCGACUAGGCGCCGCCUAGGCCGCGUUUUCGAACACUGCUUUUUAUACACACACUUUCAGAACCAGCCUAGAUGGUGAGAGUUAAGUAGCCGAAAGCAUCACUAGCUUGUACUCUAACCCGAGCAGCAUAGGACACGUGGAAUCCCGUGUGAAUCAGCAAAGGACCACCUUGUAAGGCUAAAUACUCUUGGGUGACCUAGCGGAGCCAAGAUUUCUUGUAAGGAGAGGCUUUUCUUCACAAAUGUAGUUAAAAAAAUGGCGGAUAACAAUUACAAAGAAAAUAACCAAAACAUCAUAAUUACAGAUUCCUAGAUAAUGAUGUGUUUGAAAGUACUUUAAAAAUGACUGAAGACGCUUUUAAUGAAAGUGCUUUUAGAAUCUGAACAAAAAAAAAUGCUUUUAGAAUCAAUCCUUAGUUAAAUGCAAGUGAAUCUUAAAAAUGAACUUAAGUACUUCUUGCAAGAAGUACAUAAUUAGUGAUUCUUCCAAAAUUCACUUACACUAUGUUUGGAUGAAGAAAUUUAAGAUUACUAAGGAAUUUUAAAAUGACAGAAAUUGAAAUCAUGAGAUUUUAUUUUCUAGAAUUUGUGAAUUUUCUUGUUUGGUUAACCUAAAAGAACAAUGAAAUUUGUUAAUUUAAGCUCUCAAUCAUAGAAAUUGGGAAAUGACACAUAUUUACAUGGAAUUUAAACUUGGGAAUUGGAGGCCCCAAAUUCCAAGGUUUUUUUUUCAUGCGGAAAUUCUAAAUUUCUAUGUUUAUAAUCCAAACAAUGGAAUUGGUGCAAGUCAAUUUAUAAAUUCUGACUUUUAUCCAAAUUCCAAUUUUAUUUCCUUCAUCCAAACAUAGUGUUACAGUGCUUUUGGAACACAAAAAAAUCCCCAAAAAACGCUUUCGGUUAUUUUAGAAGUACAUCCAAACAUGUACAAUAUUAAUCGUUGCAUGAUAAUCUUGUCAUUUAUACUCCUAAUUUUAAUAGGGAGAAUCAACAAAAAAAUUCUAAACACUAACACAUAAAUAAGAGGUAAGAUAGAAGAUAAACAAUAAAAAGUUGUAUACAACAAGAUAGAUUUUACAAAUCUUAUAGUUGUCGAAUUAAUUUAAAUUUUGGUAUUUGACUAUAUAUAUGAAUUUGAAUUUUGGUAUUUGACUAUAUAUAUGAAUUUCAAAAAUGAGAAGAAGAAUAGCUUUCUAGACUUGGAGUCCUACUUCUGGGUUGCACAGUGAAAGAGAACGAUCAAAUUAGAUAUUUUUUUUUUAAUUUAUAAGUGAAGGUUUAAUGUAGAUUUUUUUUUUUAAAUUCAUAAGUGAAGGUUUAAUGUUAAGGUUGUUUGUAGUCAUUCAGUACUACGGUCUGGUGGUAUUCCUCUUUACUUGUAAGUGAGAGGUCUUAGGUUCGAAUCUCGUGGAUGGCGUAUUUAAUACCAAGCUAGGUUGCCAUUUUAUGGCUUAACCGAACUCCCCUCUCCCCUUAGUGUAAAAUAUAUUCGUUGUACCAAAAAAAAAAACAAAAGUUAAGGUUGUUUAUCAAUUGUCAAAGAUUAUUAAUUUGAUGUCAUAAAUAUAAUAAUAGUGGUGGGAUGUAACCAGACUUGGAAGUUGGCAAUUGGAAUUAGGAAAGAAUAUGUUUAAAUUUGUUGCAUUGUUGACAAAUAAGAGCAUGACUGUAAAUGAAUGAAGCAUGAUAAUUGGAGGAGGGUUGAAAAGAAAAAGUUAGGAUAGGUGCCCUAGGCCAAUCCUUGUCUCUUAGUCCCUCCGUCAUAAUGUAGUACCGUGAAGGGUAGAGCAACAACAACAACAAAGCUUUUUCCCACUAAGUGGGGUCAGAUAUAUGAAAUUUUUCCUUGAGCUUCAGUGGCAUACGGCGGUCACACAACACGCCGGAUGCACUCUUCCACUUCAUCCAUCCAGGUUGUAUUCUAUGGUUGAGGUCUCCAUCUAAUUCUCUGUUCUUUUGCAAGAUAGAUCCUAGGUAGCAAAAGCGGUCGCUCUUUGGUACUUCCUGAUCUCCGAUCCUCACCCCUAACUCAUUUUGGCCUCCAUUUGCACUGAACUUGCACUCCAUAUAUUCUGUCUUUGAUCGGCUUAGGCAAAGACCUUUAGAUUCCAACACUUCUCUCCAAAGGUUAAGCUUCGCAUUUACCCCUUCCUGAGUUUCAUCUAUCAACACUAUAUCGUCUACAAAAAGUAUACACCAAGGAAUAUCAUCUUGAAUACGUCCUGUUAACUCAUCCAUUACCAAUGCAAAAAGGUAAGGACUUAAGGAUGAGCCUUGAUGUAACCCUACAGUUAUGGGGAAGCUUUCGGUUUAUCCUUCAUGAGUUCUUACUGCAGUCUUUGCUCCAUCAUACAUACCCUUUAUAGGUUAGAUAUAUGUUACUCGUACUCCUUUCUUCUCUAAAAUCCUCCAAAGAAUGUCUCUUGGGACCCUAUCAUACGCUUUUUCCAAAUCUAUAAAGACCAUGUGUAAAUCCUUUUUCUUAUCUCUAUAUCUUUCCAUCAAUCUUCGUAAGAGAUAGAUCGCCUCCAUGGUUGAGCCCCCUGGCAUGAACCUGAAUUGGUUGUCUGAAACCUGUGUCUCUUGCCUCAAUCUAUGCUCAAUAACUCUCUCCCAGAGUUUCAUUGUAUGACUCAUUAGCUUAAUACCCCUAUAGUUCAUGCAAUUUUGUAUGUCACCUUAUUCUUGUAGAUAGGCACCAAAGUGCUCUUUCACCACUCAUUUGGCAUCUUCUUUGUUUUCAAAAUCCUAUUGAAAUGGUAUGUGAGCCAUGCUAUACCCGUCUCUCCCAAGACUUUCCACACUUCAAUCGGUAUAUCAUCUAAGCCCACUGCUUUUCUAUACUUCAUCUUUUUCAAAGCUAUAACUACUUCUUCCUUCCUGAUUCGGCGGUAAAAUGAGUAGUUUCUACACUCUUCUGAGUUACUCAACUCCCCCAAAGAAGUACUCAUUUCAUGUCCUUCAUUGAAAAGAUUAUGAAAAUAACCUCUCAAUCUGUCUUUGACUGCGUUCUCUGUAGCAAGAACAUUUCCAUCCUUAUCCUUGAUAACCUUACUUGGUUUAGGUCCUUCUUUGGUAUAUAGCCGUUUAUACAUAUCGUCAUAAGCCGCUUGCUUAGCUUCACUCACAGCUUUCUUCACCUCCUGCUUCACUAUUAUAUACCUUUCACCAUUUUCAUCAGUCAUAUCCUUGUAUAAGGCUUUACAACAUUCCUUCUUACCCUUCACCUUUGUUUGUACCUCCUCAUUCCACCACCAAGAUUCUUUUUGGUGUGGAGCAAAGUCUUAGACUCUCCUAAUACCUCUUUUGCUACUUUUCGGAUACAACUAGCCAUGGUAUCUCUAUCCCACACGCAUUGGGUGAUUACUUUCUCUUUGAAAAUGACUUGUUUUUCUUGUUUUAGAUUCCGCCAUCUAGUCAUUAGGCACUCCCAGGUCUUGUUCUUUUUUCUCUCUCUUUUGACAUGUACAUCCAUCACCAACAAGCGAUGUUGAUUAGUCAAGCUCUCUCCCGGUAUAACUUUGCAAUCCUUACAAGUUAUAUGAUCCCCUUUCCUUAUUAGAAGAAAAUCUGUUGAUGCACAAAACCGGAAGGGUCUUGGAACAACGUAAAUCCGACCGUGAAUCUGCAAGAAAGUAAAGAACACAAGAUGUACCGUGGUUCACCCCAAUGUUUGUACUACGUCCACACUGAUGUUGAUAUUGUUUCACUCUGAAUGGUGAAUAUACAAGAAGGCUAGAGGCAGUGUGCUCUCUGCCUAUUUUCUCUCUAGCCUAUUUUAUGUGGCCUAAGCCUUGCCCUCAAUCUUGGCCUCUCUAAUGAGAAGAGUGAUGAGUCCUUUUAUAGAAUAAGGGCUCCUCACUUAUUACAUAUUUGCCUCUUCAUUUAUUACAUAAUUACAUUUUAGCCCCCUGAGUAUUUAUACGAGAUCUAAAUACGGAGGCCCUAAGUAUGGUAUAAACAGUAGUCCCCAAGUCUUCAGUCAAGAGAGUCUUUUGGCUGGAGACUUGAAAUUCAGUCCAUGUGUGGGCCGAAGUAACUAGAUGUCGUCUAGAACUGAUACUCGAUAUGAGGCGAUGCUCAAUGUGAAAUGAUGCUCAACUAGAAGUAGCACAUGUUGCUAGGCUGCUUGGCUUAUGGUUUAUGUUGCCUUGGUUGGCUCGACUUGUGGCGUUUAAAGGUGAGGGAGUCCCUUUUAUAGAAUAAGGGCUCGCUCAUCAAUACAUAAAUGAUGGGCUAGAGUUGAUGCUUGCGGCGAAAUGGUUACUCAGUAGGCAGCGAUGCUCUCUAAUGAUGGUGAGGGAGUCCCUUUUAUAGAAUAAAGGCUUGCUCCUCAAUACAUAAGUGAUGGGCUAGAGUUGAUGCUCGCGGUGAGGCGGUUGCUCAGUAAGUGGCGAUGCUCUCUAAUGAUGGUGAGGGAGUCUCUUUUAUAGAAUAAGGGCUCGCUCCUCAAUACAUAAGUGAUGGGUUAAGAGUCUCUCUUUAAUGAAGGUGAGGGAGUCCCUUUUAUAAAAUAAGGGUUCGCUCCUCAAUACAUGAAUAAUAGGUGCUUUCUAAUGAAAGUGAAUGAGUCUUUUUUAUAGAAUAAGGGUUCGCUCAUCAGUACAUAAAUAAUAGGCUAAGUCCCCCAAGUAUUUUUCAUGAGGCCCAGUUAUGGAAGCCCAAUAUAUGGUACAUAGUGCAAUCCCCAAGUCUUCAGUCAAUAGAGACUGUUGGCUGAAGACUUCAAAUUCAAUCCAUGUACGGGUUGAAGCGACGGUUGUUCAGAGGCGAUCUUUGUAUACCAUGCACUGAAGCUUUGUAGGUGAAGCUUUGAAGCUGGACCUCUGUAAAUGAAGCUUUUGAAACUAGAGCUCUCGAAGCUGGAGCUCUGUAAAUGAAGCUUUCGAAACUGAUUGACAUGAGUGAUGCUCAUGAAUGUUUAUGUUGAUUGACAUGAGUGAUGCUCAUAGAUGUUGACAUGAGUGAUGCUCAUGAAUGUUGACAUGACUGAUGAUCAUGAAUGUUUAUGUAUGAUUGACAUGAAUGAUGCUUAUGAAUUGUUUAUGUAUGAUUGAGUGAUGCUCAUGUAUAAUUUUGGAGUACUGGACGUACUUUUGAUCACCUGGUUGGUGAUAAUACUGGACGUACUUUUGAUCACCUAGUUGGUGAUAAUAGCGGCAGGCUACCGAAUAAUUUUGGAGUACUGGACGUACUUUUGAUCACCUAGUUGGUGAUAAUAGCGGCAGGGUGCCGAAUAAUUUUGGAGUACUGGACAUACUUUUGAUCACCUAGUGGGUGAUAAUAGCGACAGGCUGCCGAAUAAAUUUGGAGUACUGGACUUACUUUUGAUCACCUGGUUGGUGAUAAUAGCAGCAGGGUGCCGAAUAAUUUUGGAGUACUGGACGUACUUUUGAUCACCUACUAGGUGAUAAUAGCAGCAGGCUGCCGAAUAAUUUUGGAGUACUGGACGUACUUUUGAUCACCUGGUUGGUGAUAAUAGCGGCAGGUUGCCGAAUAAUUUUUUGUAGUACUGGACGUACUUUUGAUCACCUAGCUGGUGAUAAUAGAGGACCUGGCUCUUUUUGGGCAUAUGGUCAUUCGCCCUCCUCACAACACUCCAGCCCAUUAUUUUGGGCUUGCCGUUUUUUUAUUAUUAUUUUUUAUGAUUACCCUCUGAUGGGGUUAUACAGAUGUCUCCGAAAGAUAAGAAAAAUAAAUCACAUCAUUCAAAAAUAAAUCUGACCCUCUGCUCAAUGGGUCACACCCAUAAUUCCCUUUUCUACAUGCCAUCACCACUGUCCGUAAUUAUGUCUGCUUCUUUUAUCUUCUUUUGCUUUCUGUUUUUCUUUCUGCUCUCUGCUUUAGAUAUGUCACUUGAUGACAUGAUUAAGGGCAAUAUUCAUUUCUCUAAAGUGACAGUUGCUUGGACAACCUUUUUGACACCACCCACUUGCUUUUCUUGAUCUCUCCGCUCCUUCUCUGUUUUUCUGCUGAAAGUCACUAGGUUGAGAUUCCGAGUUCGAGGGAUCCGAGUCGGGAGCUAGCUGUGAUCUUCAAUAACUUCAUUGGCCCGCACGACAGCGAACGAGAAUUCUCCAUGGCUGUGCUUGUCCAAGCUUCUACACCACAGCAAAGGGUCCUCCAACAACCUUAACAAUCAUAACAAAAUAUUUGAUGGGUCCUCUCACCUACUUGUGUCAUCUAGAGCCAUGAACAUAGCUUGCAGGGGCUUGGCGUGGAGGAAGACAGGCGUAUCUUUGGUGACGUUCAAAGCAACGCCGAGUUGAGCACUGCUCUGUGAAACUUAAACCGUUGCAUGCUGCUUUGAUCUUGGUCUUUGUCGAUGGGCAGAUUUUCAACCAGCUCUCUAUGAAGUCAUUAGCAGUGGACCCAUCAUUGGGCAAAUAUGUAGUUAGAAUUCUGAGGGCCCAUCAGUCAACGAUGAACUCGUGGCCCUUCCAGUGCACCACCUCGGGGGACACGUACUCUUUCGUUCCGACAAACGAGUUCGCGCGUUCGCCGUCCGAGAAACUCAGCUUCCGUCGACUCAUCGGGCUGUCUCAAGACAACUUGGCCUUAUUCAACCCCUUCCCGCUUCUGCCAUUCUUGUGAUUUUCGUUUAUAAUCGUGAUCCAACGUGUCAAGUUUCGCCGGUGUUUGCGGUGAAUCUUCGGGAUGUCAUUUUCUGGAACGGAGUCGCUGGGCUUGGUGGUCCGGUGCUUGAGGCUAAUCGAGAGGUCGAAGUCUGUGAGUGUCACAUGACUAGAUUGCUGGAUGAGGAUUGUAAUUCAUGUCAAUGGCGUUUCUCCCGCUCAAAAUCUCAACAAAAGUGUUGGAUCUUGAUGGGCUUUUCAGCGGUGGCGGUGGUUUUGGACGAUGAGGUUUGGGAAUUGGCAACGGAGAUGGCUGAGUCAACUCGGCAAAAAAAGGUACCCCAUAAGAGGAAAUCAAGAUUUCAACUUUGUGUGUUCUCAGAACUGCCAUGGGAGGGACCAAAAAGUCUUUUUCUUUUGAAUUGCAGAGAGAGAAAGAUCUGGUAUUGAUGCAUGCUGAGAGAUCUCGAUCUUCAGAAAAGGAAAAAGAAUGAGGACUUUAAAAAGAAAAAAGAGAAUCUUUGGGGCUCUUUUAUGAGCAGAGACCGAGAGAGAGACAGAGAGAGGAGAUGACAUGGUGGCUUUGUGUUUGUGGGCUAUUUCUGGAAAAGCCCAAGGAGGUUCUGAGUUUCUACAGAUUCAAGGUGGAGAGUGGUGAGAUGAAAAAAUGAAAGAGAACCGACAUAGCUUUUUGUGUCGAUUCCCAUAGAUGGCGCCAAAUGUUGAUGCACAAAAUCGGAGGGGUCUUGGAACAACGUAAAUCCUAUCGUGAAUCUGCAAGAUGUAUCGUGGUUCACCCCAAUGUUUGGGCUACGUCCACACUGAUGUUGAUUGUAUUUCUCUAAUUAUAUGUAUGGAUUACAAGGGUGAAGGGGAGUCCCCUAGAGAAAGAAAGAGUUUGAGAGUGUGAGGGGGUUGCUGGAUAUGAACCUCUCUUUUAGGGAUGUGAGGCUUUUUGAUUGUGAGGGUGAGGAGUCCCUUUUAUAGACUAAGAGCUCCUCACAUAUUACAUAUUUGUGUUUUUGACGACCUACUCUUGUAGGUGAUCACAUGUUCUUCUCUCUUCUUAAAGAAGAUGUUGGCUAAGAAGAGAUCAUAUGCCAUUGCAAAAUCCAAGAUGGCUUCCUCAUCCUCGUUUCUCUCCCCAAAACCAUGGCCACCAUGAAAACCUCCAUAGUUGCCUGUCUCCUUGCCCACGUGUCCAUUUAAAUCUCCUCCUAUAAAUACCUUCUCCAUCUGAGUAAUUCCUUGCACCAAGUCUCCAAGAUCUUCCCAAAAUUUCUCCUUCAAACUCAUAUCCAACCCUACUUGAGGUGUGUACGCACUAAUCACAUUGAUGAGUUCUUAUCCUAUUACAAUCUUGAUUGCCAUAUUUCUAUCUCCUACCCUCUUGACAUCUACAACAUCUUAUGUCAAGGUCUUGUCCACGAUGAUGCCAACACCAUUUCUUGUUCUAUUUGUGGCCCAAUACCAAAGUUUAAAACCUGAGUUUUCUAGAUCCUUUGCCUUAAGACCAACCCACUUAGUUUCUUGUAUGCACAUAAUACUUAUCCUUCUCCUCACCAUAACUUCCACUACUUCCAUAGAUUUUCCCGUUAGUUCCUAUAUUCCAUGUUCCUAAAUGCGUUCUGCUCUAUUGGACUCUACCCUUCUGUCCUAGCUUCUUCACCCUCUCCCGUCUCAUAGGAUCAAAGUACUUCUUUUGUGUGUCUUGUGUAAAGUUGAUAGGAGCAUAUGCUUCCAAACAACUUUGAGUGGAGUCGUUCAAAAAGAAGUUUCUAUGACCCCCUUACUUAUUUAACACUGCAUCCGGGUGCCGAUGGAGAUACAGCGACCCUUACUCACUUAUCAUUGUGCUCAGGCCACACAGCGCGUCACUUACGAGUGACGACCUAGCUUUAGUGCAAUUUCAUUCUGGAUUCAUUUUCAUAAGGAUUCGACGUAACCUAGAAGUGCCGGUUGUCGACUACCUGAUGCCACUAGAAGAAAAAAGCUCAUCUACCACGGUGGAUGCCCGUGGUAAAUUGCAAUCUACCACGGACAUUGUGCCCGUUAGUAUUCUGGAUGUGAUAAAAAGUCUUUGCUUUUACCAAGGACUAUGCACGUUGUCAAAUGCAAUGUAACCACGGAUUGUGCCCAUGGUAGAUUGGGAUCUAACACCACAUGCUAUGGCCAUUGUGGAUUACAAAUUGACCACGGCUAAUGCCCGUUAUAAAAAGAUUUCCAAAAAUUAAAAAAAAAUAUUAUUUAAUAAAUAAACAAGUAAUAUAUAUACAAAAUUGCAAAUUUACUCUAUAAAAAUUCACAUAUUCAAAUAUUACACCAAAAGUAACAACAAAAUGAGUAGUUAUAUAUAUAUAUAUAUAUAUAUAUUAAGAAAUACCAAAAUCACCAAAACAUGUAGAGGCUUUAUUUCGUUUCUUCCAGAAGACACACAUCUCCAGCAAGCCAAUCACACUUUAAGUUUGCAAGUGCUUGCAAAACACCAACACUUUUUAUCAAGAAAGAAAAAUAAGGUCUUUUUUAUUAUUUUGUGCAUAAUUAAAACAUUCGAACGCAUGGUACGUAGUGUCGAAUUUGGUAGUUCUUCAUAUGUUACUGAACAUAACCACCAAAUCAACAAAAAUAAUCAUUUUCAUAUCAAGGUAUGAAAGAAAUUAAAAAUACAUUUCCAUCUGAUUCCAUCUGAUAUAGAUAUACUUGAAGAUAAAAAUGAUCAUGCUACGUAUUACAAAGAGAAGUUAGAUAUGUAGGAUAGUACGUGACCCGUCCUCUUAAGAUAGCCACUAACCUCUCCUCUCUACACUCCUCUACAACUGUUACCUCGCUAUGCACAAAUUUCUUUCAGGUCUGCAGACUUCACUGCAAAGACACUUGCAAAGAAACCAAAUGGAAAGAAACAAAAGUAAAAAGAAAGGAACAAACUGAUUGUUGCAUUCAAACCAUGUAAACUAGAUUACGCAAACAAAUAAAAUCAAGUAAAUCUAAACUUAUGGGUUUAAGAAAAAAAUGCCAUUGUCAAGCACAAAUUGGUCUCGACAAUUUGCUGCUUCAUUUCUGUAAGCUUCUUGUGAUUGUUACCUACAAUACCAACAUUCACAAAGGAAAAAUUAAAUUAGUUACGGAAAAAAAAAUUAUAUGAAAUCACCGGUGUAAAAUUUGUUGAUAUUUCCAUCACCUAAGAUUCCCCUGCUUCAUAAUUUAACAAUCAUUGUAGCAACUGACAAAAAGAUAUUGAGAAAAAAAAGUAGAAAAGAAAAACUGAAUUUAAAUAACACAGAGAGUUUAAAGUUCAAACAGGUCCUUGAAGAUUUAGUGAAGAAACUUACCAGGGGCAGAGAAAUAUUCCGAAGAGACUGGAUAGAACAUUGAUAGGAUUAACAUACCACACACCAUUGUAGCAGAUGCAAAUUAAAUUAUGGGAAACCGGGGAGAGACAAAUUAUGAUGUUUUUUUUUUGUUUUAAGAAACCGAAGCGGUUGAGCUUUGGAAAAACGUGGGAGCGUAGUUGAAAGGGGGUAGAAUUCGUUUUUGUUUUUGGAAAAGGGAAAGGAAGAUAAAGUGGAAGAGAUGGACAUGGAAAGGAGAUAGAGCAAAAAGUGGAUUUGUCAAAAAAAUUAGAAAUUUCAACAAAAGAUGUCUAAAAUUUUGCAAAAUUUUGGUGUCCCGCCUCCUCCAAAUAUGUGAAUUUAUGAUUCUAUCACACAUUAUGCUUGUGGUAGAUAAUAAAAAGACAUUGUGGAUACUAACAAUAUUGACCACGAGCAUUGUCCGUAGUUACUUAGAAUAUUUAUAACGUGCAACUUUGCGCGUAAUUAUUAACUACUAUUUUAUAACGGGCUAAGAUUUACCUGUGGUAAAAAAUUAUUAUUCAUCACGCACUUACUAUGCGUGUGGUAAAUUUAUACUUUUUACAACGAGCUGAUAAAGCCCGUGGUAGAAUUCUCGUGGUAGAUGAACUGUUGUCUCCUCCUCCUUUAUCCGGGCUUGGGACCGACAAUAUAAGAUAAACUUACAUAGGUGGAUUUAAUUAGUCACUUAUUUUAAUUGAUUCUCAUGACAAUUCUCCCGUUUUCAAUACAUUAUCAUGUAUUGAAUACUUUGAAUGUUUCCACAGACCCCACAUAGAUGAUAGAGUUAUGCAGACUUCUUGUAGAAUUGCACUUGUACAUUUAGGUGGAAGUUUGAUCGAGUCGUGUAAAAUAGACGGGCGUAUAAAAUAGAGGCAGUUAAACAAAAAUUUAAAUAUCAGUGCCGCAAGCUAAGCUCACUUGAUAAACUAAAAUUUGUUUCCAUGUAAGAAGACUUAAAAUAUAAAGCGCGAAUUGACCAAAAGGAAGUUUUGGCUUCAUAUAUAGAGAAGAUAAGUAAACACAUUCAGGUGGCAUUAAGUAUCACAACACAAAUAUGGACAGUCCUAUGGCCCUGCAGCUGGAAGAAGAGGAAAACUUCGGCUGUGCCAUGCAGCUGGUGUUUUCUUCUGUGUUGUCCAUGUCUAUGCAAUCAGCAAUCGAGCUAGGUGUUUUCGACAUCAUAGCGAAAGCUGGUCCUGGUGCCAAUCUGUCUUCAUCAGAGAUUGCAGCCCAUAUCGACAGCGGCACCAGGAAUUCUGAGGCACCGAUGAUGUUGGAUCGUAUUCUAAGGCUCCUAGCCAGUCACUCUAUUCUCAGCUGCUCUGUCGUUGCUAAUGAAGAAGAUGGGUCUGAUUCUCAGAGGCUCUACAGCCUUGGUCCUGUGUCCAACUACUUUGUGACUAAUGAAGAUGGUGUUUCUUUAGGUCCCAUGAUUGCAUUGGCGCAAGACAAGGUCGUCCUAGACUCCUGGUCUGUUUAGUACUACUCUCUUCCCCCUACUAAUUAACCAUUGUCUUAAAC
This 64588-nucleotide long non-coding RNA is filed under the name Malus domestica (apple). Its description in RNAcentral is "long non-coding RNA (MDOM_LNC000959)". The record is from RNAcentral. Lineage: Eukaryota; Viridiplantae; Streptophyta; Magnoliopsida; Rosales; Rosaceae.